UCGGUUCAAUAAAUAAGUUGUUCACACUUCACAGCCAUCCAUGUGCAUAUACAGUAAGUUAAUAACACAAAAUCCGAGUAAAUUUAUGCCACAACAAGGUUUAUUAUUGUUAUUUCAAAUAACUGAUGCGACAACAAAUAAUAUUAAUCACGGACAUCAUAUGAUAUUAGUAAGGCGUUGUUGAGGAUGAGAAGCAUGUACAACUCCUCGUUUUCUUUGAUGAGCGCCUCCGCACCAGGCAUAUCUGGAAGCUCUAACCAACACAUGAUGAUAGGGUUGUAAUUAAUAUCCACACAGUCGAGCAGAUGCAAGAACUGUUGCCCACUCUUGUCACCUUGGUAGUCCUUGAUCAGUCCGUGGCACACGUUGAGGCGUCUCACCACACCUUCAUACUCCAUCUCACAAUAACUAAGAACGUGCAUUGCCACUGUUCCCUUCUUGGCAUCUUGCAGCUUUUGCUUGAUCUUACCACUAGCGGCAGUGACACGGCUCUUAAAGAUGUCGACAGUGACAAGCACUAAGUCACGGAGGUCCUUAGCCUCGGCACUUCGAUUGUCCGACUGAAGGGUGGACAAACAGAAUUCUUGCGUGAUAGAUUUGUUGCAGGGGUUGUUGAUCGAGGCCUUCUUGCAUGCUUCCACCAUGAGCUUGGUCGCCUUGGGCUUGCCAGUGUCAGAGCCACUAGCAUGAGUGGAAAAAAGGAAGAAUAUGAUGGUGGAGAGGACGAUGGUAGUCCUUGGCAUUGCUACCAUUACUACAGGGCUAGCUAGAAGCCUUGAAGUACUGAAGCGCUGAGAGGGAGGUGGAGAAAAAUAGACAGAGAAGGAUGUGUAUUGCAGAGAUGGAUGGGUGGAUGGAGGUGAUGUACAUGAGGCUGAGAAUUCUUUAUAAUGCCUGCAAUGGGGUAUCAUAAAUGCAGUAUGCAGCUUUGGUCCAGAAUAUGUGUACUAUCGGUGUCCAGUAAAUGUUGAAUGCCCAUUUUGGAUCUCUACAUAUUAAUGCUCUCUCUAUGUUCACAAAUACACAGAUGCUCACUAUAGAUCUUGUUGUAGUAACACAUAUCUUACUUAUAUGAAUCCAUUAAUGCAACGUAGCUUGAUCAAGGAUAUCCCAAAUGAUUAGUGUGCACCGAAUGCCCAUAGAUAUGUUGAUGCUCAUUUUGGUACGUCUUAUUUGCAUUGGUGUUUUCUAAACAUCAUUUUGUAUAACUGAUUUGUUACUUCUACCUCCCUUUGGGGGACGAUUAUAUUUUCCCUCAUCAAGUCUAUAAUUGCUCAUUUUUUCUUUGCAAUUUUCGAGUAGUUACAAAUAAUUCUCAGGGAGCAGGCACUUAGUUAACUUGGUGACACAAUAAAUAUUUUUGUUAAAAUAUCAAAGUUUUAUAUCUUAAAUUUUUUUAUUUCCAAGUCGAUUAUUGUCUGAUGGGUUGACUUUUACAACAGUUGUAUUCCCCCAGUUAAAAAUCACAACUUAUUUUAGGGAUUAAAUGAUGCCAGCCGGACUAACAUAUCAUUCGUAGGCACUGUCAAAAAAUAAGCAUGUUUACUGCCCACCGCCUAAGAAAAUAAAAAAAAAUUACCAAUACCAACACGUCACAGUAUGGGUUUAUUUGGUUUCGAUUCUCGUUACUACGUAGUAGGAAGGAAAAAAAAGAGCUAUCGAUCAUAAGGAGGUAACCUGUAUCAUAGGUACAUGAUGCGCACGUACACGCCGGUAUCUUAUAUUUUAUAUUUUAUAUCUUAUAUUUACUAAUUGGAAGCACCUUUCAAGCCUUCUCAUUAAUCAACAUUAUAAAAAUUAAUUACACCGUUGUAUUAUAGAAUUUACGUCUAAGAUGAAAGGAGAACUUACGUAACAUAAACUUGGAAGGAAAAAAGAUAUAGGGAAAGGAGAAUAAAAAUAGAAGUAAAACAAAGAAAAUAAUUUAGAUGGGCCAGCCCAUUAUUGUUUGCCUUGUGCGAAAUUCUGACUAUUUAUGGCGCUGUGCGGAAAAUAGAGUUUUUCCAGCUGCAUGGGCAGAAAAAUAAGUGGGCUGGCUUUGCUGGGCCACCGCGCGUGGCCCACGUACAACAAUUCUUUUUCUAGCAAACAAACGCAUAAGACCUUUGUACCACCUCGGGUAGAAAGAUUGUUUUUUCGACGGUGAACGGAUGAAAAUAUAGGCAAAACGCACCUUGCUUCAUUAGUAGUAGCACAUAUGCCCGUGCAUUGCAACGGGAGAGAUGUUUCUUUGGAGAAGCAAUGGGAGAGAUAAUUGAUGUAUCCACCAAAAAUGAUCUCCAUAGCGGUGUGAUAGAGAGAGGAGUUGUGGUCUUCUAGCGGGUCAUGUUUCUCCCGCCAGAUAUUGAUAGUGGUGCACUUAGUCGGCAUAGCGGCAACCAUACAACUCGUGCAUUUUUUUCCUUUGGGUCAGUCUCUGUCUCGGGGUUGUGUCUGCCUCUACGUUUGGUAGCUAUGCGGCGACCUUCAGAGCACGGUUGCUUCGACCACUCUCUCUUAUGAUGGCGUAACCGGAUGAAUUACUAAUUGUAGCGCUUAAAUCCUGUUUCAUUAGCAUAUAUAUUUAGCGCAUAACCAGAUAUCAAUGUCCCUUCUUUAUUAGGGUUUAUUUUCUUUGAUUAUUUUAGCGCUCACGUGCCCACAACUAUUUUAUUCGAGCCAAACCAACAUAUUCUCUUUUAUUGGACCAAGAAAAAAUUGCUCCCUCAGACGACUCAGUAGGGAGUGUGGUUGAGGCCCAAUACAGCCUAUAUGACGCUAGUUGCGUAAAAUAACGUGUGAGAUGCACAUCAGUUCGUGUAUGGACCAACACACUGGUAGGCGCCAAGACGACCUAUGUUAGGAAGGCACGGAAAAAUCCAAAAAAUAAUGAGUUGAAGGAUCAAAAUCAUGUCCUGAAAGAGCCGACUACGUGCUCAUUGCCACUCGAAGAAACGAGUCCUACCAACCAAUGGCCAGCUCAAACCUUUAAGAUCAUACUCCAAUGUGAGAUUGGAUACAAUUUUUUUAACUGUUUAAAAAAUAUAAAUUGCUGAAUAUUCCUGAAAACAUGAAUAAUUUUUAAAAUCACAAACACUUUUUGAAAUUCUUUACAUUUUCAGAAAUACACAACAAAAUUGGAAACCCUCAAAAUUCACAAAUUUAUUUGAAAUCAUAAACCUUUUAUAAUAACAUGAACACGUUUUGAAAAUGUGAUUUUGUUUGAAAAAGAAACAUAUUUUGAACAUUCAAAACAUUUUUUGAAAAUGUGUUUCUAUAAACUUGGACAUUACUUUGAAUUUGCGAACAUUUCACUAAAACAAAAAUAUUUUUCAUAUUUGGAACAUUUCCUAAAUGCAUUUUUUUUGGGAAAAUCUCAAACAACUUUGGAAAACACAAAGAAAAAAUGGAACAUUUUUUGAAACGUGAACGAAUUUUGGAAUGAGAACAAAGCACUAUUGGGAAAAGGCUAAUUAGUGGCGCACAUAUUUUUGCUAUUAAUGGCGCACUAUAGGUGCGCCAGUAUUACCACGCCACUAGUAACAAAUAGUAAUGGCGCAUCUAUAGUGCGCCAUUACUAUGCCUAGAAGGUGCGCCAUUACUAUCUGACUUAGUAAUGGCGCACCACAUAGAAGUGCGCCAUUACUAACAAUUUUUUUUCAAAAAAAAUAUCCAAAUUUUUUCAAAUAUUUUUCCCUUUUUUUCUUAAUCUCAGGUCAAUAUGCUUAAUCUCAAGUCAAAUCGAUCCUAUUAAACCUUAUUGAUGUCUAGGACUUUGUUCAUGUUCAUGAGUGUGAUGAAAUUUCAAACUUCCCGGUCAUAUUACGUAUCAUAUUUUGAAAUGUUACUAGUGGCGCACCUAGCAAAUGGUGCGCCACUAGCAAGUUUGAUUUUUUUUGUUUUCCCCUCUCUAGAUCCUAAAAGCCCCGUAUCUUUCAUUCUGUUAGGUUUUUGUGGAUUCUGAAAAUCUUGUAACUUUUCGAGUAGAUGCUUUUUCAUAUAUAAAACUUUUUAAUCCGAGUUCAUAUGUAAAAGUUAUGCCCAUUUUACUAAAUUCCAGAGAGAUUUUGCAAAUAAAGUCGAAAUUUAUAUUUGUAAAUUUUCCCAAAACCUAGACCACAUAUCACAUGGAAAACUUAUUUUCUUUUAUUUUUUUGACAUUUCCAUCAUUUUCUUUUUUUUUCUAAAACUGAAAAGACGGUCCAGGGGGUGGGGGUGCAAAGAAAGUUAGUAAUGACGCACCUUCACAAAGUGCACCAUUAUUAUGUGUAUGACUUGGUCAAACCUUGGUCAAAGUUAGUAAUAACGCACUUUGUGUAGGUGCGUCAUUACUAAGUUUGACAUACUAAUGGCGCACCUAUGCAAAAAUGCGUCAUUACUAAGUUUGAUCAAGGUUUGACCCAGUCAUACACAUAGUAAUGAUGCACUUUGUACAGGUGCGCCAUUACUAUGUCAACUAGUAAUGACGCACUAUCCUCUAGUGCGCCACUGCCAACAAUUUUUUUUAUUUUUUCUUCAAAACUAGUACUAGCGCACCACACACCAGGUGCACCACUAGUAAUAUGUCAAUAAUGUUGCACCUGUAUCUAGUGCGCCACUGCAUAUAUGGUGCGCCAUUAAUGUCCACAUUAGCUAUAGCCCUUUUCCUAAUAGUGAAGAUUUAAUGUUCUGAACAUUUUUCGAAAAGGAAUAUUUAUUAACAUCCCAAACAUUUUUAAAAAACGGAUUUGUGUGAUAUUAUGAGUUUUAUUGAAAAUUUUGGUUUUACGAAAAAAGGGGAGAUAAAGAAAUAAACUUGAAAGUAAAAAAGAAAAAAGAAAAGAAAAGAAAAUAGAAACCAAUGGAGAAAGAAAAAUAGAAACAUAACACAGAACAAAAAAAAACGGUUCGACCGAGCUCGAGCGCCCGAUGCGAAUUUGUGACUAUUUUGGAAUGAGAACAAAUAUUUAUAUUAUAAACUUUUUCAAAAAGGAAUAUAUUUAAAGUUCUGAACAUUUUUUAAAAAAAUUGAUUCUUAUGAUAUUAUGAAUUUUUUGAAAAUUUUGAAUUUACAAAAAAAGGGAGAAAAAUAAACUUGAAAGGAGAAAACACCAAAGAAAAAGUGAAAGAAAUGGAAAAAAAUAGAAACAUAUUUUAAAGUUCUGAGCAUUUAAAAAAAUCGAAUUUUUAUGAUAUUAUGUAGUUUGUUGACAAUUUUGAAUUUACGAAAAAAGGAGAAAAAGGUCAACUUGAAAGGGAAAAAGACCAAACAAAAGGAGAAAGAAACGGAAAAAGAAAAACAGAAACAUAACACAAAACAAAAAAAAGAAUAUAUUUCAGCCCAGCUUGGGCGCCCAGUGCGAAUUUACGACUAUGUAACGCUAAUUGCGAUAAAUAGGAUUUUUCCACCUGCAUGUACACGAAAAUAACUGGGCUGGAUUUCCUGGGCCAAUACUGUGGGCGGCCCAUGUACGAGAUCUGGCGUUUUUCUUUUCUAAUAGACAAACGGACAAAAAAAUUGUACCACCUCGAAUAGAAAAAAAAUCUUUUCGUUGGUGAACGGAUGAAAAAAUCAAAGAAACACACCUUGCUUUAUUAGUAGGUAUAGAGGUAUAGAUAUAGAUAUAGAUAUAGAUAUAGAUAUAGAUAGUAUUGAUAGAAAAAUGAAAUUUUCCAUCCAUGCUAAUCUUAACAUAAAUUGUUUAAGAAUUCGUUGGUACACAUAAAAACAUCUAAUGUGAAUAAUCUAUGGUUCUUAUAGUAUUUGCUAGGAUAUCAUGUAUGUUAAAGGAAAGUCAUGCAUGCAUGUGUCCAUUAUUGUGUAUAGAAACAAAGUAUUUAUAAUUCUACCAUUCUUCCGUGGCAAAAACAAGCAUGUAUUCCUUCUUUUAGGUUAACUAAGAAAGGCUACAAUAGAACACUCGACCUUUAUGCCUUUUAGAAACUUCUAGAUCACGAGUGCAUGAUGCACACAAUAACUUUUGCGUUUGUAACUAUGUUUUCUACCAACAUAAAAAAUAUACCCUUAUAUAACCUUCAUAAAGUAGCACAUUCUUAUUUCCACAUAUCUUCUAUAAAUUUGACGUGAUUUUCCAUCACACAGCGAUAUUUUUAUACUUUUGUCACAAAAUUGGACAUAAACAAUCAAUCACAAAAUAGUCAAAGAAUUGUAACUUCAUUGGAUCCAAUGUGCAUGUGUAAUAAUAAUAACCUAUAUCCAAAUGAUUGUUUGAUAUUUAUAAUUUGUCAAAAAUAUGUUAUAUCUGAUAUUACAAUUGCUAGCCCGUGCAGGUGCACGGAUUGACGACUAGUGAUAUGUAGAUAGAAUUAAUUAUGAUUACCACUCAAUAAUUUUUCUUUAUGGAUAUCCAAAUUUAUGUUUAGAAUCAACAUUUCUACUUCAAUUUUUUCCGGGGAUUUUUUUACUUAGUAAACAUAUGGAUAUUUAGAAAUUUUUUGUGCUAAUUGUGUGCUCUCCUUAGCCUAUGUUACAAUGCAUGGUUUUCUCGGUUAUUUUAGAAAAUGCAUGUACUUCUCUAUCGCCAACUUCUCACAGAUGGAGUUAAGUUUCGUAAAAGUUUAGAAUGGCAGCCAACAUGAAAAAAGAUAAAAGUAUCAUCAUUUGCACAUUUUUUUUCACCUUCUUCACUAUCUAUAUUUAUGGAUAUUCACUUUGCGAUUUAUAUUUUCCCAAUUCGCUACAAAAGCGCAGAACAAACAUUUUAGAAAAUAAAUGCAAAAUGUGUAAAAUAAAAUGUGUAGGUACAUAAUUAAAAAUCUUGGACGACGAUAACUGCCACACGUGUGGCAUCUAGGGGCUAUGUGCCGCACGCCCCGUGUGGCAUCGACACAGGCCCGCCCGCACGAGCACGUCCGCGUGCACCCCACCACAGCCCGCACGUUCGGUGUGCGGCGCAAUCGCCCGCACUAGCACGUCCGGGCGAGCGACCUCACGGCCCGCACGACCCGUCUCGGCCCUCGCCCCUCCCCGCCUGCGAGCCACACGCCCCGCGUGGCAGUAACCACGCGUCCCGCCGCGAUUGCCAUGGUCUGAACCCUCUUCCAUGUUCGUUUAACUGUAGUUGCCAUGUUGCUGAACUGCAGUUGCCAUGUCUGACAACUACAGUUGCCAUGGUUGCUCAACUGCAGUUGCCAUCUCAGGUCAAGUGUCGGAUGCCAUUUUUGGGCAACUGUAGCUGUUGCCAUGUAUGGUCUGGUCUACUACAGUUGCCAUGAUUUGAAAACUUUAGGAUUUACAACCUACUAACACUAGACAGUUGCCAUGUAGCACUACAAAAGCAUGGCAAAAAACAUGUUCAGGUAAAAGAGAGAGUUGCCAUCUGCUUACAAGCACACUAGGGCAGUUGCCAUGUACCCUGCAAAAACACAUGGCAACUGAUAGCUUUUGGUGUGUGGGAGAGGAGACGGGCAUGUGGGCGACGAUGGUAUCUUUAGGAGUUGCCACCUACUAACACUAGACAGUUGCCAUGUAGCGCUACAAAACAGACGUGUCAACAAUAACAUGUUCGGGGUAAAGAGAGUUGCCAUCUGCUUAUAAUCACAAAUAGGGCAGUUGCCACACACUAGCACUGGACAGUUGCCAUUUAGCGCUACAAAAACAGACGUGGCAACAAUAACAUGUUCGGGGUAAAGAGAGUUGCCAUCUGCUUACAAUCACAAAUAGGGCAGUUGCCAUGUACCCUGCAGAAAACAUGACAAAUGACAACUUGGUGUGGGAGAGUGGGAAAAAGGGCAGUCAUGGGAGAUGGGGAACAGAAGUCGUGCGCGGCGUGCGGGCGCGACAGCAGUUCCACCGCACGCCCCGACUCGCAAUCGGUCUCGUCCGAGGGAGAAACAGCGUGCGGGCGAACUACCUACACACCACACACCGGGCUUGUCCUACUUGGCACACCAAAUCCAACUUUUGGUGUCAGGAUUCAUGCAAAAAACAACCAACGACAAUCCAGGCGUGUGGGCGAGUUGAAAACGUUCCACGCGUGUAGGCGUUAGUGUUUCCGAAAAUCUUAUAUCUCCGUCUCAAACAAACAAAAGCCUCCUUCCAUAAGAAACAGCUCAUACGUGAAACUCUUCUCGCCUAUUAAAAAAAAGGAAAAGCAUCCCUCCCCGAAAAAAGAGAAAACGUCUUCACUAGCUCCUGUACUUUUUUAGGCAACCACGUCUCCUCUAUAUGGCCAGAUCUUUCAAGGCUUCUUACUAAUCAGACCACUACGUUGUAAAUUUAUAUCCAAUAAAGAAAACCUGCCGAAUCAUAGAUGGUCUCGUCCAAAAAAAUGUCAUGUGAUACGUCCAACGUUGUCAAAAAAACAUCCUCCAUUCCUUAAAGAGAAAAGAUAGCGUCCUUAGAAAAGCACUACCAAUAAAAGGAAAAGAAAGACGGAAUCCAAUUGAUGACCGAUGAAACUCCAUAAAUAAAAUCUUCUGUCGAUCGAUUUUAAAAGAAGAAACAUCUGGCUCAGUUCCUCUACAUGGCCGCAUACUCCACUUCCUCUUCAAUCCUGCUCUCCUACAUGUGGCUGGUGGUGGCGAUUUCUCUAACCGAAGGAUAUACCCAACUCGCCAUCACCAUCAAGUGCGCUCUCCCACCAGCAGGGCCAACAACAAACUGCAAAGGAACCUGACGACAGGUGCUGCGAGGUAUGAUGCAAGAUCGACUGCGACCCCAAGCGGCAAUCGAUCUUCCUCAUUGUUAUUGUCACCGCGUCUCCUUCCAUCCACCCCGGGCAUCAAAGUUCACCCUAUUUUAUGAUAAUAAAAAAGUCCAACUACCAAGUACAAGCUCUAAUAAGUUCUUCUUGGAUUCAUGCUCCGACAAGACUAUGAUCCAACUAUGAUAAUAAUGGAUUAAGGCGCAGAUUGCUAACACUUAUCUGCAUAUAUAGUACGUAUGCAUGUCUUUAUUUUGAUCUUAGAAAAAAGAGAAAAUUAGCUAUUAAAGCAUCUUUAAAUACAUACAAAUUACCGAAGUAACAAGAAAAUAUGGAUGUACCAUGCGCCACGAAGAUCUAAUAGACACACAAUUAUCUAUGUGGUAUAGGUAUGUAUACAGUAUGGAUAGAAAAUAUAAAAAAAUGACAUCCGUAUUAAAAAUAUAAGAAAUUCUUUAAGAAUUUGUUUGUUGAGACUAGAACUUAAAACCGGAAUAAUCUAUGGUGCUUAUAGUAAUGAGAAUAUACUACAAACUUUUGUUUGCCAUCACACAAUGACAAUAUUAAUGAGGUUGUCACACAAUUGGAGGCAAACAAUCAAAUAACAAAAUAGUCCGAAGCAAUGUAACACUGUUGAACCUUAUGUCUAACAAAGAUAAACAUGCAUGUGUGACAACAAUAACCCAUAUCAACAUAUUAUUAUUGGCUGACAUUUCUAAUUUGUAACAACUUUGUUGUAUGCAAUAUUAAAAGUGCUAGCCCGUGCAUGUGCACGGGUUGAUGACUAGUAUAAUAUAACUCUGAGACAUGCCUAUAUAACCUCUUAUUUGCAUACGUUCUUUUAAAACAUAGCAUAGACAAACCACAUUACAUUAUAAUAAUGAAUUUGUUUUUUCUCGGUGACAGGGUAACUGUUAUUUCUAUGUCGACCAGUUGUACCUUGAAAGAAAGUGUUAUAAAACAAUUAUGUUACUCCCUCCUCCAUCACUGUUUUCAUUGACCAGAGCCCCCACUCCACACAUAUCGACAAGCUCGGAGUCCCGCUCAUCGAUAUGAUCGUAUGCCAUAUCCACACAACUGGCGAGCUCAUUGGAGCGUAGCCCGUCCUCGUCGCCUUGGUAAUCCCUGAUCGUGGCAUCACAUAUGUUGAGGAUGCUCACCAGUCAUAAUCCGCCUCACAAAAACUAAGGACACGCAUUGGCACCGUGCCCUUCUUGCUUCAUGUGUCUGUUGUCUUGGCGCACCCAUUUCGUCCACCGCCAUCCGUUUGUGUCGGCGCGGACAGAAAAGUCGGCCCAACGCGCCGACACAAAUGGACGCGCGUCCGAUUUCGUCCGCCUGCCUAUCCAUUUCCGGCCCAUUUUUUAGCCGGAUUUGCGUCGGCGGAGACAAAAGACGGACGCACGCGCUCACCCUCUCUCCUUUCCGGGCGCGCUGGUCGGUGGCACAUUGGCCUCUCCACAUCAAACAACACACCCUCGCCCGCCUGCUUCAUCGCUGACGCCGCCGGUCAUUUUUUCCGAUAGAAAAAUGAUACAUAGAUAGUUUUAGCAUACACAGAUAAAAAAAAGAUCAACUACUCGUCGCUUUCCGACUUCGACUCGGUAAUGUCCUCCUAUGACGUCUAAAUGUAGGCGUCAGCAUGCUGAUCAUCUUCAAAGUCUCACCCCGGCGUUUCUCGUAGCUUCAGUUUCAAUUGAGCGGCCUGCUUGCGCGCACGCUUGUCCUCCCGAUAGGCGGCUCGCUCCGUCCUCCUCACCUCCUUCUCCGUCCUCCUUUGCGUGUAGAACUGGCGCUCAUUGACGAUGUCCUGCAGAAAGCGUUCGCGCCACACCACCAUGGCUUCCAUGUCCAUCUCGGUGAUGGCGAGGCGACGCUGCCGCCUCCGGUGGACACGACGAUCCUCGUCGGUGAAAUGCCGCGGGAGAGGCGCGAGAUCCUGCGCCGCUGGCUCGACACGUCAGGAAAAUUCAUAUCCCAACGAGGCCUCAGGAGGCACGACGCCGCCGCGUCGUGCGCGCGGGCCGACUCCUCUGCGGUGUUGAAGGUGCCGAGGAUGAGGCGUUUCUCGCCAAACCUGAUCUCUGAGGAGAAGGCACCAGAGCGGCGCUCGCGGACUCCGCGAAAAUUUGAAGCGCCCAGGCGGCGCAUCGACAUGGUGGCGCAGAGGCGGCGAGGCUAGUGAUAGGGGGCGACACAAGUGGGCGGCGGACAGAGUGUGGAGGGAGCGCCUUCUUAUAACGAGCGCCGGCCGCGGCGCGCGCGCGAACCUUUCCCGCGCGCUGGAGCACCGAAACCAGCACGCGCUAGGCCACUUUUCCCCCACGCGUGUGAACCUUUCCCGCGCGCUGGAGCGCCAAAACCAGGGAGACGGCAUGGCAGCUGGCAUGAUCGAAAGCGCGUGCGAUCAUGAAGUGGGUCGGACCGUUGGACGCACUGCCGACCCAAAUCUAAAAGAGGGCGGACGGCGGGCGGGCGGCAGACCCAAACGUACAAAAAGCGGACAACAACGCCGUCCAUCUGGGUCGGCCCGUUGAAGUUGCUCUUAGGGGUGAACCUCUGUCUCCCGUAGGGCCCCAUGUGUUUGACAACACAUGGGGUGGCCUGUUCAGCACGCCAGUGUGAAAAAUCAUGACACAGGCAUGAGGUAAUAGUUAGUGGUCUACUCCCUACGCCUGGGAGUUAUCACAUCAUAGGAGUAGGUAGCUCCAGUAGAUAAGUUUCCCUAUAUUGGAUAAAGAUCAAUGGAACGCCUCGUAGGUGUGAGUAGCGAGUUGCCAAAUAUAUAUGUUAUACGGAAUUAAAUUAUAGGAAUCCUGCUAGCUGAGCAGCUGUGAUUUUCCUUUUGAAAAGUAAGGAAAUGGAAUAGGGAGAAGAUUUUGCAUUUUAGAAUAAAGAAUCUGCUCAAGAUGCUCUAUAAUAUUUCCUGACUUGGGCACAUCAUUGUUUUCUUUUAUUUGAGACGCAGAUUGGAGCACAGCAUUUGCUGGUAAUUAAGCAAAUGCAUGAUGCAUGCCAACAUGACACUUGGGAAAAUAACAAGACUACACUUCCUACAGUAAUACAGAUUCACGCGUAAGGUCAAGUCUAAAAAGAUGUAUCGGGAUCAGCUUCCAUUUCAUAUACUCCAUGGUGGAAUAUGAUGUCACGCUUGUUAUCAAGGUUUUGGAUCGGGAGUGAACAGUGGACUAGACAAACCAGUGUGCCAGGGUGGUCCAAUAGUAGAAAUCUUUACAUAAAUUUAUUUAUUUUCAAAGAAAUAAUUUUUCUACUACACUAUAUACAUGCUGUGGGGAAAAUUCAGGGUGGUCCAUGUCCACCCCCUAGCUAAGCCACUACGAGCGGACCUUUUCUCUAAAGGGGCACCAAAAUUCGAGGUUACUAAGGUAACCACGAAAUACAAAAAAAUCAGACGAAAUUAGAAAUCAUUUUAAGUUGAUAUAGAUAGUUAUUUAUCUUUACCUAAUAAUAAAGUAUAAAGUGCGUCUACCCGUUCACCAUCAUCCAAAUUACCCUCGAAGUUGGCGAGAAUUACCCACUAAUGCCACCUGUAAGUGGCAAAAAUAAUUCGCUUUUUUCCAUGCUGGUUCAAUAUGAAGCUAUCUUCUUAUGUGACACAAGUACAUGCGCAUCCCACCGGCUAGAGGUUCGAUCCCAUGUUCUCCCCAUUCUAUCUCCCUUUUCUCUCUUGUUGUUAGAGGGUUGAUUGCGCCAGCCCAGCACGGCCUUCAACUCUCUUUCUUUCCUUUCUUACAGACAGUUUUUCUUUCUUUCGGCUUUAUUUCGAAAUACUUUAAAUAUUUCUAUGCAUUAAAGAAAUGUUAAACUUCUCUACAAAAAAUAUUUCCACUAUAUAUAAACAAAUGGGUAGUGUGUAUGGAAAGCAAAAUUAGGAAAAUAAUAACGUAAGUUUCUGUUUUUUUGAAAAAAAUUAAGCAUGCAUUUAAAUAAAUUUAAAUGUGUACAAAAAUUGUUUAUGAUGUAUACAAAAAUAUACAAUAUGUUUAGAACAAAGUAGACAUAAAAAAGUAUAUGUCUUCAAAAAUAUUAAUCAUGUAUUUGGACGAUGUUAACCAUGUACAUAAAAAUGAUCAUGAUGUACACAAGAAAUAUAGAAUGCGUAUAGGAAAAUUGGAAAUCAAAAAACUUAUGGUUAAAAAAAGUUGAAAACUAAAUUGGAAAAAUGUUAUACUUGUAUAUCUAAAUGUUUGUCAUGUAUACAAAAAAAAUACUGUGUUCAUGGAGAAUAUAGAGAUAAACAAAAUAUUUUACCAAAUGUUAAUUAAUUAUUUAAAAAUGUAAUAAUUUAUUUUUAAAUUUCUAAAUGUGAUAUAAAAUGUUUCUGGUAUAUAAAAAAAAUUUAUAGUGUAUAUGAGCAAACGUAGACAUAAAAAAUAUAAGUUCUCAAAAAUAUUAAUUAUAUAUUUAGAAAAUGUUAAACAUGUAUAUAAAAAUUAUUCUUGGCGUAUAAAAAAUGUAGAAAGAAAACGAACAAAAACUAUAAAAUUGAAAAAGAAACAAAAAAAGCAAAGAAAGCAAAAAAAUAGCAAAACCCGUAAAACCAAAAGAAUAUACCAAAAAAUAAGAAAGAAAAAACAAGAAUGAUAAAAACGUGCUAUCAUUAAUUACUAACAUGUACUUUGUUAUCUUCAUCACACUACAAAUAUUUGUUGGGCAUCAUCAAGGACGAACGACAACAAAUGCGUAAUGAGAUACCUCCAACUAGGUAGAUAUUUUUGUUGUCUAAUAAGUUAAAAACAUCUUGAGUACACUUCAAAAAUCAUCCCAUUUUUAUAUUUUUACACAACACCACUUAUCAUGUUAUUUGUCAUGUGACAUCGUGAAAGAUUUCAAGGGAUUUACUAAUGUCUUGAGAGUGUGUAUGAGGGGUGACUUUUUCUCCCCCGUUGAAAGAACACAAAGCCUGCCCUUCUUCGGAAAACACACACACACACACAUACACACACAAAGCAAGCCCUACCGUAUUGGCUGUUCACCCUUAGCUGCCGCUUGGUCAAACGUCGCGAGUUUGACGUUCUUACCUUUUGCAUCCUCUAAAAGAAGUAAAAAUGAAAGCGAUGAGACUCGAACCCGAGACUUGCUGCUGCGGAAAGCUUGGCUUUGCCACCUAGGCCAUGACCUGUCAUGAUGUUCAAUAAGAGAUGCCACGUAUUUAACUAUGAGGUGGGCGUUUGAAUUCAAAAGUUUCAAAANNNNNNNNNNNNNNNNNNNNNNNNNNNNNNNNNNNNNNNNNNNNNNNNNNNNNNNNNNNNNNNNNNNNNNNNNNNNNNNNNNNNNNNNNNNNNNNNNNNNNNNNNNNNNNNNNNNNNNNNNNNNNNNNNNNNNNNNNNNNNNNNNNNNNNNNNNNNNNAAGAACAUUAUUAUUAUUAUUUCAAAUGGAAGUAAUGUUGGUUUUACAUGAACAUUGUUUCUGGCAGAAAAUCUUAUAUUUACUAAUUGGAGGCACCUUUCAUGAUCUCUCAUUAAUCCACAUCAUCAAAAUUAAUUAAACUGUUGGAUUGUAAAAUUUAUGACCAGGAUUAAAAAAACAACUUGUGUAACGCAGAUGAUGCUGUCCUAUAAAAAGUGCACCUGACACGUACAACUUUUGUUAAACAAACAAAGAAAAGACUCACAUAAAAAAACGGAAGCCACAAGUAAAAAAGGGAAAGGCCCCACCAGUUCCCACAAAUUAAGUAGAAAAACAGCCUCAUGCAAGAAAAAGAGGAAAGUCCCUACCGUAUCCCACAAAUUAAGAAGCAAAAUUUUCCAUAAAAAAACCUAAUGAUAAGAUGCCAAAACAAAAUCCCAACGUUAAAGGAAAAAAAUCGACUAUCGGGCAGAUUGCCCGUGAAAUAAAAGAAAGCAAACUCGCGUAACAAAACUUAAACCUCCACCCAUCUGAACAAAUAAAAACACUAUGUACCAAACAGAUCAAGCCAAAAUGUACAAAAAAAAUAGAAGUCACGUAAAGAAAAAGGGAAAGUCCUUAGCAUCCGCGUUACUUCUCAUAAAAAAAUAGGGUUCUCACCACGUACAUAUAAUUGAAGAUUAAGCACACGCCUUCCAAAAAAAAUAGUCCUUAGCAUACACGUUACUUCCCAGAAGAAAAACAAGCUACAAAAACAGUUUUCACCACAUACAUGAAAUAAAAUCUUACAAAGAAACAUACGGCUUGAUCUUUGGUGUGGGACAUGACAAAAAAAGACACAACCUCAAAAAAUGACUUCGCAUUACGUAUGUGAAAUAAAACCUUGCAGAAAAAAAUACAUACAUGAAAUAAAAGAUUAAACAUACAUGACCAAAUAAAAACAAGGAAAGCCUCACGUCAAUCGAAAAAGCAAAGGAAAAACUCCACCCGCUGCACAAAUUAAGAAGGAAUGUCUCUGUUAAAAACUCCAAGAUAAAAUGUAAAAAAAGUCCAAUGAUAAAAAUGGAAAAAUUCCGCGAUCCAGCUGAUUGACCGUGAAAUAAAAACUAGACCCAAUGGCUCCAUCAAUAAAAUAUUCUCCCGACAAAAAUCUGUGUGGACUCAUCUGUACGGCCGAUGCCUCCUCCUCUGCUUCAAUCCUGCUGUCCUACCAAUGGCCGCCGAUCACGAUUAUUUGUCACUGAAUGUGCUUUCCCACCUGCAUGGCCAUCGGUGAACCACAAAGUGUCACAAGGGCGGCCUAAUUUAUUUUUCUAUAUGCUACAACAAAAAUACCUCUCAUGUUUAGUUGGACAGUAUAUUUUUUAAAGGGAUAUUGAAGCUGAAGUUUGUCAACCACGGAUGUGGAGCUGGUCGAGACUGGUGGCUAGAUGACAAAGGCUCCGCUCGGCAAGGAAAGAUUUGCAUUGAGCUAAGACUCAUGACUAAUUGAUAUAAUCUAAGAGAUGAUGAACCAAGAAAAUUAUAUUAGAAAUAAGUUGGAUGUUAUUUGCAUUAUUCUAUUUUGAGGAGUAAAAUUAUUUUUUUGGGAAUUAGACAAUCAAACUAUUGUUAUGAUUUCUUGAACUGGCCACAUAGGCCACAUAAAUUAUGAAAUUACUUUUCAUUGACGGAAUUUCGUUUGUGAAGAUAGCAUAGGGGCAACCGAUCAAUGUCCCCGGUAAUGAGUACUCAAUCACAUCAUGUUUGGUAGUACUACUGUAUGGGUGUUCUACAUAAAAGCAAAUGUAAGUAGACAACAUUAUAAUUAUUAAUUUUGUCCAUUAUAUUGCAAAGUAAAGGAUAUCCGUGUGGUCAAAAAAAAUUAGAUCAAUAUUGCACCACUAUAUGUCUUUUUGUCAAAUUUAAAUCCUGUUCAAGUUUAUACUGCUUUUCUUACUACUCCUAAUAAAUGAUCAGAACAAGGAAGCUUGCAGUUCUGUAGGGGAAGACCGAUCCUUGACGAGCAUUUCUAGCGUGACACAGAUAAAUAACAUUGGAUGGAGCGGCUCGACGACCUCCUCAUGUACGCUGCCGGACGCUGGCUGCAUCCGAUGACGCCGGGAGCAAGGUAGUGGUGUCGUGUAAGUUCAUUUUAGAUGCUAAGGACUAUUAUGCACAACUUAGUACUAUUCUCUUGAAAGAUAAACUACUUUGUCUGACAUGCAUACUUGCGAUUAUGUAGACUUAACAUGUUUUUACACAGGUGCAGAUUACGAACGCUAAUUAUUUGCACAUAUAGUACGGUUGCACAUCUCUUUUUUUUGUCCUGAUAAGUUAUAAAAAAUAUAACUAUUAAAGUAUCUUUAAUACACAUAAAUUUUUUUAGUAAAAAAUAAUGUGGAUGUUUCCUGCACGACAAAGAUCUCAUAUAAACAAAUGAUUAUGUAUGUGAUAUACAUAUGUGUAGCAAGGAUAGAAAGUACAAUAAACUUUCAAGCACAUUAAUCUGAAAAGAAAUCCUCUUAUGAUUUUCUUUGCACAAAUAUGAUAGUGAAAUACGAUUAAUCUAUCACACAACUCCAAUUCAAUCGUGAAAGAUUUUCUUUAAGAAUUUAUUGGUUAAUACAAGAAUAUAAAAUACAAAUAACCUAUGGUGCUUAGCGUAAUCAAGAAUUGCAGAAAUCAAACUUUUAUAUAUUAUUUGCUACAGUGUUACAUACUACUUCUCCAAAUAAUUCUUUUUAGUCUGCAUAUAAGAUUUGCCUGAAGUCAAACUUCAUAAAGUUUGAGCAUAUUUAUAUUGAAAAAUAUUAACAUGUACAAUACUAAAGUCACAGAGUAUAAAAAUUAAGAUUCAUGCCGCAUUUAAUGAUAUUGAUUACACAUUGAGAAUAUUGAUAUUUUUUCUGUAAGUUGGUCAAACUUUACGUUGUUUUACUUCAAAUAAAUCUUCUAUACAGAGUAAAAUAUCUGGCGGGAGUAUUUAAUAUUAGAAGUGCUAGCCCGUGCUGAUGCACGGGUUGAUGACUAGUAGAUUAUUAACUAUCAAAGUCAUAUGGCCCUAGCAAGACAUUGUUCAGGCCGCCCAGCUUGAUCAACUCCUCGUUAUCGUUGAUAACUGUCUGGCUUUUCAUGGGAAGCUCAUGCCGGCAGUUGCUGACAUGGUCAGUCGCCUUCUCCACACACUCGGGCAGUUCAAAGAACCACGGGCCGUCGGCGUCGCCCAUGGGGACACGGAAGUCCCUGAGCAUGGCGUCGCAGAGGCCGAGGGUACCGAUAGCAGCAUCGUAAUCCACCUGGCAAUACCUGAGGCCGAGCGCCUCCUCCGUACCUUUCUUGGCUUUCUGGAGUGCUUCCUUCACCUUGCCGCCGGCAGCCGCCAUGUGGAUCUUGAGGAUGUCAACGGCGACGAGCGACAGGUCGCGGAGGUCCUUGGACUCAGAGCUCCUUUUGUCGGACCGGAGAGUCUGCACGCAGAAUUCCUGGGUGACGUUCAGGUGCUUGUUGCGGCAGCUGCUCGAAGCGUUCUUGCAGGUUUCUACCACGAGGUCUACCACCUUGACCUUGUCGUUGCGCCGCCGGCAUGUGCGCCGAUGCACACAAAAAGGAGCAUGAUUGCAACCAAGAAGGCAGCGGUCGCCCGUGUGGUUGCCAUUGCUGCAAGGAUAGCUGCAAUUGUAUUGUAGGCUUUGUAGCUGAGAGAGAGGUGAAGAUGAAUUGAUAGUCAGAUUUUGUAGUGCAAAGAUGGAGGUGGUGUACGGUUCUUGUGACAUCUAUAUAGUGCAGCAGCAGGUUCAUAAAUCCAAUGCAGCUUAGUCACGGAUAUCCAAAUAAUUAGUAUUUCAGACACUAUAUGCGCAGAUAUGUGUUGGAAAAAUGAGCAAAUUACUACGAGAUUUAAUCCGAAUAAAUAGGAAAUAGAUCAUGACAGCAAUAGCAGAUAUUAAACUAAUCAUGCGAACUAGCAUACUAGAUGAACAGAUCACAUCUAGGACACAUACUAGAAACAUGAGUUCUACGGUGCAGCACCGCCGGCGUUGACGUUGUCGCCCAUGUCGUCGAGGAUGAGGUUGCCGAGGUCGGGGAAGAAGUCGUCGUUCGCGAAGUCGUCGCUGCCAGCAGUCGCGCGAGUGCGCUCCCCAAAAACCUGAUCGCCCCUCUCCCAUACAGGAUCACGAGAGGCAGGGUUCUAGAGGCCUGCUGUCCCUUCUCCCGGUGCACGCCGAAAGGAGGGAUGGAGAAGACUUGCUUGGCGGCGCAAUGAUCUGGAACGGUGGUCAGAAACCAUACGAAGCGGCGGCGGCUAGGAUAGACGUCUGCCUGACUAUAUAGUGCGGGCCGGGUAGGUCCUGGGAGUAAACCCCACGUCCGAGUCAUCACGAUCCAAAAGAAUCGGAAAUGGUUCAGUAAUUAAUGAGUCCAUUAAUUAUUAAUUAAUGACUCAUUAAUUUUUCCCGAGCAGCAAAAAUAUAGACAGCGUGCAUAGCUCUGUCCUCGGCUUGGCUCAAUCCCGCGGCGCGGCGGGGCGGGGCGAGGCGAGCGAGGAGGAGGAGCGCGCGUGUAGGUCUCCUCUUCUCAUGCUCAUACAAGUGGUAGAAAAGCUCACCUUAUAAAGAGGUGCAACUCUCUCUCAACUUUCGGGGUGGGACUAAACUUUAGUCUCACCCACUCCACUCACAUGUGUGCAUGAAUGGGCCAAGAGAAUUUCAGAAUUUUAGUUGGGCUUUGGGCCAAGGCCUACUAGCAAAAUUCCAACAAUCCCCCACAAAGUCUCAUUGGCACAUCUCAUCAUUUAGUUCCAAAACAUUGUUUAUAUACCGGUGCUUAGUGGAGACUGUGAAGUUGAACUUCCACUUAAAGAUUUAUGCUACACUAGAUCACAACUUGAAUAGUGGACUAUGCCUUGAACUACAAGUUUUCUGCGAAACUAGUUUCACACAAAUUCUUGACCGAUACUGGGCUGCCGCAAGGCUUCCCCGCGGGUGGAGCGUAUACGCCAUACUCCAGGGCAUUUUCAUGAAUUUAUUAGAGAACACCCAAUUCUCACAGACUGCGACGUUAACAGUCAAAUUCAUAUAGGUGUGUUCCUCAGAAGAUGUUCUGCAGGACAACAUCUCUGCUUACCCGAAUAAGCCACUUGGAACACAUUAAGAUAAGUAUCAACCUGCCAUGCAGAUCAGGAGAGUAUUGCAUCUUCACGGAGUGGGAUAGUUAAUAUAGGGAUACUCUCCUCCCAGCUGACCAACAGCUUGUCUCCCACUUCUACUUCACGGGAUCUCCGAUCACAUAGAGUGGGUUACCACUAUGGACAACUCAUGCGGUGGGUCUCAAACCCAUCUCCAUCGAUGCAUUAUCUAUCACAUUAUGUGAUAGACCCUUUGUGAAGGGAUCUGCCAUGUUUUUCGAUGUUUGGAUAUAAUCCAACGUAAUAACUCCGGAGUUCCUCAAUUUUCUGACAGAUUUUAGUCUCCUCUUCACAUGUCUUGAGGACUUCAUAUUGUCCUUCGAACUGUUUAUCUUGACAAUCACAGUUUGAUUAUCACAGUUCAUCAGGAUAGGGGGUAUUGGUUUUUCAACCAUAGGUAAGUCCAUCAAGAGUUCACGAAGCCACUCUGCUUCAACAGUGGCAGUGUCUAAUGCUGUGAGUUCUGCUUCCAUAGUUGACCUCAUUAAGAUGGUCUGCUUGCAAGACUUCCAGGAAAUAGCGCCACCACCAAGUGUAAAAACAUAACCACUCGUGGGCUUUAUCUCAUCAGAAUCAGAUAUCCAGUUUAAGUCACUAUAACCCUGCAGUACCCUUGGAUACCCGGUGUAGUGAAUCCCAUAGCUCGCGUAGCCUUUCAAAUAGCGAAUAACUCUCUCAAGAGCAUGCCAAUGAUCAUCUCCCGGUUUUGACACAAACCGACUCAGCUUGCUCACAGCAAAAGAGAUGUCAGGCCUCGUGGCACUCGCCAAAUACAUAAGCGAGCCAAUAAUCUAAGAAUACCUCAGUUGAUCUCUAGCAAUCCGUUGAUUCUUUCGAAGCAACACACUAGCAUCAUAUGGAGUUGGAGAAGGUGUGCAGUCGCUAUACCCAAAACGACUCAAGACCUUUUCCACAUAGUGAGACUGAAGCAGUGUGAUCCCACCAUUCUCAUCUCUCAACAGCUUGAUGUUUAAGAUAACAUCAGCUACUCCUAGAUCCUUCAUCUCAAAACAGCGAGAUAAGAAAUCCUUAACCUCCUUGAUUAAAUCAAGUUUGGUUCCAAAGAUCAAUAUGUCGUCGACAUAUAGACAAAGAAUAACUCCUUCACCCCCACCAUAGCAAUAGUACACGCACUUGUCACCAUCAUUUACUACAAAGCCGGCAGCAGUUAAUGUCCUUUCGAACUUCUCAUGCCACUCCUUAGGAGCUUGUUUAAGGCCAUAUAAAGACUUUAAUAACUUGCACACCUUUCCUUCCUGACCAGGUACUACAAAACCAUCUGGCUGAUCCAUGUAAAUUUCCUCCUUCAACUCUCCAUUGAGGAAAGCCGUCUUGACGUCCAUUUGAUGAACGAGAAGACCAUGUGAGGCAGCCAGUGAUAGUAGCACCUGAAUUGUGGUCAGUCUAGCCACAGGUGAGUAAGUAUCAAAGAAGUAUUCACCUUCUUUCUGGGUAUAACCCUUAGCCACAAGCCGUGCCUUGUUCUUUUCAAUCGUACCAUCAGGUCUAAGAUUCUUCUUGAACACCCACUUACAUCCUAAAGGUUUGCACCCAUAAGGACGACCAGUGAUCUCCCAGGUUCCGUCAGCUAAGAUGGAAUCCAUCUCGCUACGUACAGCUUCCUUCCAGUAGUCAGCAUCAGGAGAUGCUUAGGCUUCUCUAAUAGUCCUGGGUGUGUCAUCCACGAGGUACACAAUGAAAUCAUCACCAAAGGACUUUGUAGUCCUCUGUCUCUUACUCCUCACAGGAGUUCCAUUGUCACCCUCAACAGGAUUCUCAACGUGUUCCAUCGCAAUGGUGGGUUCAGGAAUUACAGUGAAUUCCUCACUAGAUGGAGUAGGUAUCUCCUGAUUUGAUGAACUCGACAUGUCCUUCAUAGGAAAUAUGUCCUCAAAGAAAGUUGCAUCAUUCGACUCCAUAAUCGUACCAACAUGCAUGUUGGAUACCUCAAAUUUUAUUAUCAAAAAUCUAUAGCCGAUGCUAUGAAAAGCAUAGCCCAGAAGAACACAAUCCACGGUUUUUGGUCCAAGCUUGCGCUUCUUGGGAAUUGGUAUAUUGACUUUCUCCAAACAACCCCAAGUACGUAGGUAAGAGAGUUUCAACCUUUUCCUUUCCCAUUCCUCAAAUGGAGUCAUGGUCUUAUGCUUUGUGGGAACUCGGUUUACGAUAUGACAUGCAGUCAUUAGCGCCUCCCCCCACCAUUCCUUGGAUAGACCCGAAGUGUCUAACAUGGUGUUAACCAUAUCAGUUAGAGUUCGGUUCUUUCUUUUGGCUACCCCAUUUGACUGGGGUGAGUAGGGAGGCGUCCUCUCAUGGAUUAUACCAUGUUCCGCACAAAACAGAUCAAAUUCAUUGGAAAAAUACUCUCCACCACGAUCAGACCUAAGCCGUUUAAUUUUUCGAUCAAGUUGGUUCUCUGCCUCAGCUUUAUAGUUUUUGAAGAAAGUAAAAGCCUCAUAUUUUGAUUUCAGAAGAUACACAUAACAAUAUCUAGUGGAGUCAUCAAUCAACAUCAUGAAGUAUCUUUUUCCACCUUUUGUCAACACGACAUUCAUCUCACAAAGAUCAGAAUGUAUAAGCUCUAGUGGUGCCAAGUCUCUUGCCUCUGUAGUCUUAUGGGACUUGCGAGGUUGCUUAGCUUGCACACAUACUUGGCACUUAGAGCCUUUGACAGUAGAGAUUUUCAGAAUUAAAUUCAUAUUGGCUAGCCAUGUCAUGCAACCAAAGUUAAUGUGACAAAGUCGUGAAUGCCAAAUAUCUGACUCAUUGUUGUGGCAAACAUUAUUAAUAACUUUAGUGCAAAUAUCUGACAAAGACAGGCGGAACAAGCCUCCGCUCUCAUAGCCUUUUCCAACAAAUUGUCCAUACUUAGAAAUUACAACAUUAUUGGAUUCGAAAACCAACUUAAAACCAUCUCAACAUCAAUGGGAACCGCUAACGAGAUUUUUAUUGAUGGACGGCACAUGAUGAACGUUCUUCAGACGCACGGUCUUCCCCGAAGUAAACUUCAGAUCGACCGUACCAACACCUCGAACGAUGGCAUGUGACCCGUUCCCCAUCAGCAUGGGAGAAGUCCCAGUGGCCUGGUAAGAAGAAAACUUGGAGGCGUCAGCACAAACAUGUACAUUGGCACCGGUGUCAAUUAACCAAUCAGGGGAUUGAAAUACUGAAAGGAUGGUAGGAAAAAUACCGUAUCCUGAUUCCUUCAUAUCAGUAUCACCGAUAACAACAUUAGCGGACUUGCCGCUCUUGUCAUGUUCGCGCUCCUCAAAACGGUUAGGACACUUCGGAGCCCAGUGAUUAGGAUCACCGCAAACAUGGCAAAGUCCCUUCCCCUUCUUAUGAGAAUUCUUCUUGAAGUUGGUAGAAUGUGAUGGCUUGUUCUUUGUAUCAAACUUACCUUUGCCCUGAGUUUUGUUCUUGUUGUUUUUGAACUUUUUGGGAUGGAAGUUCUUCUUCUGUACCAUUUGGGCACUAGAACCUCCCUCAGCAACUCGAGCACGUGUGUCCUUUGCUCUCGCCUUCUCUUCAACAUCAAGAGUACCAAUGAGAUCCGCAACGGAAAACUCCUGUCUCUUGUGUUUCAGGGAAGUAGAAAAAUUAUUCCACGAAGGUGGAAGCUUGGCAAUGAUGCCUCCGGCAACACACACUUGAAGUAAUCAAGUUCUUUUGCGAGUGACUGUAUCUCAUUAGCCUGCUGUACAACAAGGCGCUCAUCAGUCAUCUUGUAGUCAUAGAAUUGCUCCAUGACGUACAACUCGCCGCCGGCGUCCGAGGCACCAAACUUGGCCUCGAGCGCAGCCCACAUGUCCUUGCCAUUGUAAAAUGAGAUAUACGAAUCGAUCUUCUCAAAAGCUUCCAGCUGUGCUGGAUUAAGAUCGCCCUCAGGCUUGCCCUUGGUGGCGUCAUAGCAGCCCAUGGUCUGAAACAAGUAGACUGCUAUCGUGCGCCACCUCUUAUAUUGCGCCCCUUUAAUGGCAGGCAGCUUCAAAUGCGCAGCAAAAUACGAGAUUUAAUCCGAAUAAAUAGGAAAUAGAUCAUGACAUCAAUAGCAGAGAUUAAACUAACCCCGGGUAGGUCAUGGGACAACGUGCAUAGCUCUGUCCUCGGCUCAAUCCUGCAACCCGCGGCGCGGCACUCGUGUAGGUCUCCUCUUCUCAUGGUCAUACAAGUGGUAGAAUAGCUCACCUUAUAAAGAGGUGCAACUCUCUCUCAACUUCCGGGGUGGGACUAAACUUUAGUCUCACUCACUCCACUCACAUGUGUGCAUGAAUGGGCCAAGAGAAUUUCAGAAUUUUAGUUGGGCUUUGGGCCAAAGGCCUACUAGCAAAAUUCCAACAAUAUGUAGAUCCACAUUUUGGGUGUGCUAGUAUUAAUACGUGUGGCAUGAGUGUGUUCUUGUUUUAUGUAUUUCUAGAGUGAAUCUCACGUUAUUUCCCCAUAUCAUAAAAUGGAUUUGGGACAUUAAAGGAAGAUUAUGCGCAUUUUGCACUUGAUAAUCUAUCUAUCUUCUACGUUUAUAUAUCUAUCUAUAUCUAUCUCUAUAUUCAUCCCUAUAUCUAUACCUAUCUAUAUGUAUACUAUAUAUGUAUAUUUAUAUCUACACCUAUCUAUCUAUCUAUCUAUCUAUCUUUAUAUCUAUAUCUCUAUCUAUCUAUACCUAUACUUCUACUCCCUCCGUCCCAAAAUAAGUAUCUCAAGCUUAGUACAAGUUCGUACUAAAGUUAAUACAAAGUUGAGACACUUAUUUUGAGACGGAGAAAGUACUAAUUAGGCACUCCCUAGAAAUUACCAUGUUAAUCGGUAAAAUUCAAGAUAAUUGGAAACCCAUGCCCCUUCGUAAAUACAUGUAAUUGCUUACACCAUUUAGGAUAUGCUUGCAUGAUGGAUAUAUACGAUACACAUGCAUCAUUAUUAACCCGGAACACCUUUAAGAUUACAUUAAAAAUGGCAUCCAGGAGACACUAUAUUAAAUAAUACUGCCCAUGAUUAAAUAGGAGGAAAUCCAAUUCUCCAUCGAGGUAUAUGUGCAAAGAGUUAAACAUUGAUCAUUUGGAUAUUCAUGGGGCAUAUUGCAUUUGGAAACCCCUACUCAGUGCACUAUAUAGUAUAUAUAAGCCAUAAUCAUAGCUACGUACUCCACCUCAACCCAUCCAUCUCUGCACUGCAGUUCCAUUUGAUCCAUUCAUCGUCUCCCUCAGCUACAAUAUAAUUUUCUAGCAAGCCUGGCAGCAAUGGAAAUGGUGCAAACCACCUCCUUAGCAUUCACUGGAAUUGUCAUCAUUCUCCUUUCCAUGGCCAUCACCAUUCAAGCUUCCGACACCAAGCCCAUGCCGUCAGGCAUCACGUUGGAAGCAUGCAAGAAUGUCUCGAGUGACUUCUUCAAGGUGCGCUCCACAUAUGACUUUUGUGUAUCAACGCUCCAGUCAGACAAACGAAGCAUCAACGCGAAGGACUGCCGCAUCCUAGCUCUUGUGGACGUCGACGCCAUGAAGCCCCAAGCCACGGCCGUGAUGGCCAAGGUUGAGAACUUGAUCCAUGGUGCCACCAAGGACAAGCUCGCGACUCGCGCCCUUGGGUUCUGCCAAGUGGACUACGGUGGCAUGGUGAGCACCCUCGAAAUCUGCCAUGAUAUCAUCCAGAACUUUGAGGUUCGUAAAGGCAAUGAAGGUCCGACGCCCUACGACCUGCCUGAUUGCAUUGCGAAAACAACCAAAGCCAUCAACGAUUGCUCUGACAAAACAAAGUUUACGUCGGUUACAAAAGGGCUAACAAAGGAAUAUGAGGAGUUAUCUAUGAUGAUCAGCCUCAGCAGCUCUUUGCCACAUCUCUACAUCACAUCACCCUGAUUUUUCUGGAAAAAUAUGAUUUUAUAGCGUCGGUUUUAGGGUCUGCGAGGCCACCAGGUGGGGACAACCCACCUAGGCGCGCUUGGAGGGGGCACGCCAUGGUGGGUUGUGCCCACCCAGGUGCCCCCCUUCCGGUGGUUCAUGGCUCCAGAAAUUCUCUUUAUUGAUAUGAAAAAUCCUUGCAAAGUUUCGUUCCAUUCUUAAAACUUUUAUUUCUGCACAAAAACAACACCAUGGUAGUUCUGCUGAAAACAGCAUCAGUCCGGGGUUAGUUUCAUUCAAGUCAUGCAAAUUAGAGUCCAAAACAAGAGGAAAAGCAUUGGGAAAAGUAGAUGUGUUGGAGACCUAACGGUGGCGGCGGGAAACAAAUGAGGAAAGGGUGGCGUGUUCAUAAAACGCCACCAAUCAAUGGAAACUUAGCAUAGAAGGAACAUUGAGCUAGCACAACGUGUGUGUGCACAUUGCUCACCCAAGGCUAUGAUCCAUAUACUUGUGUGCCCAACAGAGCACACUAUUCAUAGUAAAGAAUAUUGUUAUGUUUAUCCUAGUAGAGCAGUGGCAGCAAGCGACACAAGAAGAAGUAGAUGAUGAUCAGAUGAUGGUUUAUCCUAAUUAAUUAUGCAUGUAAUAGUUUACUUUGGCGUGUGGAAAUGUCAUGUGUACUAGGAAACUAUGUAAUUGGAUGUUUAAUUUGACUGUGGAAUCAUGUCCUUAUAUCAUGAUAAAUCUUUAUUAUUCAUGCUAGAAUUGUAUUAACUGAAAACAUAAUACAUGUGUGAAUACAUAGACAAACAAAGUGUCACUAGUAUGCCUCUACUUGACUAGCUGGUUGAUCAAAGAUGGUUAUGUUUCCUAGCCAUAGACAUGAGUUGUCAUUUGAUUAACGGGAUCACAUCAUUAGGAGAAUGAUGUGAUUGACAUGACCCAUUCCGUUAGCUUAGCACCGGAUCAUUUAGUAUGUUGCUAUUGCUUUCUUCAUGACUUAUAAUGUUCCUAUGACUAUGAGAUUAUGCAACUCCUCUUUACCGGAGUAACACUUUGUGUGCUACCAAACGUCACAACGUAACUGGGUGAUUAUAAAGGAGCUCUACAGGUGUCUCCAAAGGUACAUGUUGGGUUGACGUAUUUCGAGAUUAGGAUUUGUCACUCCGAUUGUCGGAGAGGUAUCUCUGGGCCCUCUCGGUAAUGCACAUCACUUAAGCCUUGCAAGCAUUGCAACUAAUGAGUUAGUUGCGGGAUGAUGUAUUAUGGGACGAGUAAAGAGACUUGCCGGUAACGAGAUUGAACUAGGUAUUGAGAUACUGACGAUCGAAUCUCGGGCAAGUAACAUGCCGAUGACAAAGGGAACAACGUAUGUUGUUAUGCGGUCUGACCGAUAAAGAUCUUCGUAGAAUAUGUAGGAGCCAAUAUGAGCAUCCAGGUUCCUCUAUUGGUUAUUGACCGGAGACGUGUCUCGGUCAUGUCUACAUAGUUGUCGAACCCGUAGGGUCCGCACGCUUAACGUUUCGAUGAUAGUUAUAUUAUGAGUUUAUAUGUUUUGAUGUACCGAAGGUUGUUCGGAGUCCCGGAUGUGAUCACGGACAUGAAGAGGAGUCUCGAAAUGGUCGAGACAUGAAGAUUGAUAUAUUGGAAGCCUAUGUUUGGAUAUCAGAAGUGUUCCGAGUGAAAUCGGGAUUUUACCGGAGUACCGGGAGGUUAGCGGAACCCCCAGUAACUUAAUGGGCCUUAGUGGUCCUAGGUGGAAGAGAGGAGAGGAGGCAAGGGCUGGCCGCGCGCCCCUCCCCCCUAGUCCGAAUAGGACAAGGAGAGGGGGGUGGCGCCCCCCCCCCUUCUUUCUCCUCCACUCCUUCCCCCUCCCAAGUCCUAAUCCAACUAGGAAAGGGGGGAGUCCUACUCCCGGUGGGAGUAGGACUCCUCCGGCGCGCCUCCUCCUAUGGCCGGCUGCACCCCCCCCCCUUGCUCCUUUAUAUACGGGGGCAGGGGGGCAUCCCAUAGAUACAACAAUUGAUCAUUUGAUCUUUUAGCCGUGUGUGGUGCCCCCCUCCACCAUAGUCCACCUCGAUAAUACUGUAGCGGUGCUUAGGCGAAGCCCUGCAUUGGUAGAACAUCAUCAUCUUCACCACGCCGUCGUGCUGACGAAACUCUCCCUCAACACUCGGCUGGAUCGGCGUUCGAGGGACGUCAUCGGGCUAAACGUGUGCUGAACUCGGAGGUGCCGUGCGUUUGGUACUUGAUCAGACAGAUCGUGAAGACGUACGACUACAUCAACCGCGUUGUGCUAAGGCUUGCGCUUUCGGUCUACGAGGGUACGUGGCCAACACUCUCCCCUCUCGUUGCUAUGCAUCACCAUGAUCUUGCGUGUGCAUAGGAAUUUUUUUGAAAUUACUACGUUCCCCAACAAUGGCAUCCGAGCCUGAUUUUAUGCGUAGAUGUCAUAUGCACGUGUAGAACACAAGUGAGUUGUGGGCGAUAUAAGCCAUACUGCUUACCAGCAUGUCAUACUUUGGUUCGGCGGUAUUGUUGGAUGAAGCGGCCCGGACCGACAUUACGCGUACGCUUACGCGAGACUGGUUCUACCGACGUGCUUUGCACAGAGGUGGCUGGCGGGUGUCAGUCUCUCCAACUUUAGUUGAACCGAGUGUGGCUACGCCCGGUCCUUGCGAAGGUUAAAACAGCACCAACUUGACAAACUAUCAUUGUGGUUUUUGAUGCGUAGGUAAGAAUGGUUCUUGCUAAGACCGUAGCAGCCAUGUAAAACUUGCAACAACAAAGUAGAGGAUGUCUAACUUGUUUUUGCAGGGCAUGUUGUGAUGUGAUAUGGUCAAGACAUGAUGCUAAAUUUUGUUGUAUGAGAUGAUCAUGUUUUUAACCGAGUUAUCGGCAACUGGCAGGAGCCAUAUGGUUGUCGCUUUAUUGUAUGCAAUGCAAUCGACCUGUAAUGCUUUACUUUAUCACUAAGCGGUAGCGAUAGUCGAAGAAGCAUAAGAUUGGCGAGACGACAACGAUGCUACGAUGGAGAUCAAGGUGUCGCGCCGGUGACGACGGUGAUCACGGAGGUGCUUCGGAGAUGGAGAUCACAAGCACAAGAUGAUGAUGGCCAUAUCAUAUCACUUAUAUUGAUUGCAUGUGAUGUUUAUCUUUUAUGCAUCUUAUCUUGCUUUGAUUGACGAUAGCAUUAUAAGAUGAUCCCUCACUAAAUUAUCAAAGUAUAAGUGUUCUCCCUGAGUAUGCACUGUUGCGAAAAUUCUUCGUGCUGAGACACCACGUGAUGAUCAGGUGUGAUAGGCUCUACGUUCAAAUACAAUGGGUGCAAAACAGUUGCACACGCGGAAUACUUAGGUUAAACUUGACGAGCCUAGCAUAUAACAGAUAUGGCCUCAGAACACGGAGACCGAAAGGUCGAGCGUGAAUCAUAUAGUAGAUAUGAUCAGCAUAGUGAUGUUCACCAUUGAAACUACUCCAUCUCACGUGAUGAUCGGACAUGGUUUAGUUGAUUUGGAUCACGUGAUCACUUAGAGGAUUAGAGGGAUGUCUAUCUAAGUGGGAGUUCUUAAGUAAUAUGAUUAAUUGAACUUAAAUUUAUCGUGAACUUAGUACCUGAUAGUAUCUUGCUUGUUUAUGUUGAUUGUAGAUAGAUGGCCCGUGCUGUUGUUCCGUUGAAUUUUAAUGUGUUCCUUGAGAAAGCAAAGUUGAAAGAUGAUGGUAGCAAUUACACGGACUGGGUCCGUAACUUGAGGAUUAUCCUCACUGCUGCACAGAAGAAUUACGUCCUGGAAGUACCGCUGGGUGCCAGGCCUGCUGCAGGAGCAACACCAGAUGCUAUGAACAUCUGGCAGAGCAAAGCUGAUGACUACUCGAUAGUUCAGUGUGCCAUGCUUUACGGCUUAGAACCGGGACUUCAACGGCGUUUUGAACGUCAUGGAGCAUAUGAGAUGUUCCAGGAGUUGAAGUUAAUAUUUCAAGCAAAUGCCCGGAUUGAGAGAUAUGAAGUCUCCAAUAAGUUCUAUAGCUGCAAGAUGGAGGAGAACAGUUCUGUCAGUGAGCAUAUACUCAAAAUGUCUGGGUAUAAUAAUCACUUGAUUCAAUUGGGAGUUAAUCUUCCAGAUGAUUGCGUCAUUGACAGAAUUCUCCAAUCACUGCCACCAAGCUACAAGAGCUUCGUGAUGAACUAUAAUAUGCAAGGGAUGAAUAAGACUAUUCCCGAGCUCUUCGCAAUGCUGAAAGCUGCGGAAGUAGAAAUCAAGAAGGAGCAUCAAGUGUGUAUGGUCAACAAGACCACCAGUUUCAAGAAAAAGGGCAAAGGGAAGAAGAAGGGGAACUUCAAGAAGAACAGCAAACAAGUUGCUGCUCAAGAGAGGAAACCCAAGUCUGGACCUAAGCCUGAAACUGAGUGUUUCUACUGCAAGCAAACUGGUCACUGGAAGCGGAACUGCCCCAAGUAUUUGGCGGAUAAGAAGGAUGGCAAGGUGAACAAAGGUAUAUGUGAUAUACAUGUUAUUGAUGUGUACCUUACUAAUGCUCGCAGUAGCACCUAGGUAUUUGAUACUGGUUCUAUUGCUAAUAUUUGCAACUCAAAACAGGGGUUACAGAUUAAGCAAAGAUUGGCUAAGGACAAGGUAACGAUGAGCGUGGGAAAUGGUUCCAAAGUUGAUGUGAUCGCAGUCGGAAUGCUACCUCUACAUCUACCUUCGGGAUUAGUAUUAGACCUAAAUAAUUGUUAUUUGGUGCCAGCGUUGAGCAUGAAUAUUAUAUCUGGAUCUUAUUUGAUGCAAGACGGUUAUUCAUUUAAAUCAGAGAAUAAUGGUUGUUCUAUUUAUAUGAGUAAUAUCUUUUAUGGUCAUGCACCCUUGAAGAGUGGUCUAUUCUUAUUGAAUCUUGAUAGUAGUGACACACAUAUUCAUAAUGUUGAAGCCAAAAGAUGCAGAGUUGAUAAUGAUAGUGCAACUUAUUUGUGGCACUACCGUUUAGGUCAUAUCGGUGUAAAGCGCAUGAAAAAACUCCAUACCGAUGGACUUUUGGAACCACUUGAUUAUGAAUCACUCUCUACUUGCGAACUGUGCCUCAUGGGCAAAAUGACUAAAACACCGUUCUCCGAUACUAUGGAGAGAGCAACAGAUUUGUUGGAAAUCAUACAUACAGAUGUAUGUGGUCCGAUGAAUGUUGAGGCUCGUGGCGGAUAUCGUUAUUUUCUCACCUUCACAGAUGACUUAAGAAGAUAUGGGUAUAUCUACUUAAUGAAACAUAAGUUUGAAACAUUUGAAAAGUUCAAAGAAUUUCAGAGUGAAGUUGAAAAUCAUCGUAACAAGAAAAUAAAGUUUCUACGAUCUGAUCAUGGAGGAGAAUAUUUGAGUUACGAGUUUGGUGUACAUUUAAAAAAUGCGGAAUAGUUUCGAAACUCACGCCACCCGGAACACCACAACAUAAUGGUGUGUCCAAACGUCGUAAUCGUACUUUACUAGAUAUGGUGCGAUCUAUGAUGUCUCUUACUGAUUUACCGCUAUCGUUUUGGGGUUAUGCUUUAGAGACGGCCGCAUUCACGUUAAAUAGGGCACCAUCAAAAUCCGUUGAGACGACGCCUUAUGAACUGUGGUUUGGCAAAAAACCGAAGUUGUUGUUUUUGAAAGUUUGGGGCUGCGAUGCUUAUGUGAAAAAGCUUUAACCUGAUAAGCUCGAACCCAAAUCGGAGAAAUGUGUCUUCAUAGGAUACCCAAAGGAGACCGUUGGGUACACCUUCUAUCACAGAUCCGAAGGCAAGAUUUUUGUUGCUAAAUUAGGAAACUUUCUAGAGAAGGAGUUUCUCUCGAAAGAAGUGAGUGGGAGGAAAGCAGAACUUGAUGAGGUAACUGUACUUGCUCCCUUAUUGGAAAGUAGUUCAUCACGGAAACCGGCUUCCGUGACACCUACACCAAUCAGUGAGGAAGUUAAUGAUGAUGAUCAUGAAACUUCAGACCAAGUUACUACUGAGCCUCAUAGAUCAACCAGAGUAAGAUCCGCAGCAGAGUGGUACGGUAGUCCUGUUCUGGAAGUCAUGCUACUAGAUCAUGAUGACCCUACGAACUAUGAAGAAGCGAUGGUGAGCCCAGAUUCCGCAAAAUGGCUUGAGGCCAUGAAAUCUGAGAUGGGAUCCAUGUAUGAGAACAAAGUAUGGACUUUGGUUGACUUGCCUGAUGAUCGGCAAGCAAUUGAAAAUAAAUGGAUCUUCAAGAAGAAGACUGACACUGACGGUAAUGUUACUGUCUACAAAGCUCGACUUGUUGUGAAAGGUUUUCGACAAGUUCAAGGGAUUGACUAUGAUGAGACCUUCUCACUCGUAGCGAUGCUUAAGUCUGUCCGAAUCAUGUUAGCAAUUACCAUAUUUUAUGAUUAUGAAAUUUGGCAAAUGGAUGUCAAAACUGCAUUUCUGAAUGGAUUUCUAGAAGAAGAGUUGUAUAUGAUGCAACCAGAAGGUUUUGUGGAUCCAAAGGGAGCUAACAAAAUGUGCAAGCUCCAGCGGUCCAUUUAUGGACUGGUGCAAGCCUCUCAGAGUUGGAAUAAACGCUUUGAUAGUAUGAUCAAAGCAUUUGGUUUUGUACAGACUUUUGGAGAAGCCUGUAUUUAUAAGAAAGUGAGUGGGAGCUCUGUAGCAUUUCUAAUAUUAUAUGUACAUAUUGCUGGUUGGAAAUGAUAUAGAAUUUCUAGAUAGCAUAGGGAUACUUGAAUAAGAGUUUUUCAAUGAAAGACGACCUCGGUGAAGCUGCUUAUAUAUUGGGCAUUAAGAUAUAUAGAGAUAGAUCAAGACGCUUAAUUGGACUUUCACAAAGCACAUACCUUGAAAAAGUUUUGAAGAAGUUCAAAAUGGAUCAAGCAAAGAAAGGGUUCUUGCCUGUGUUACAAGGUGUGGAGUUCAGUAAGACUCAAUGCCCGACCACUGCAGAAGAUAGAGAGAAAAUGAAAGAUGUUCCCUAUGCUUCAGCCAUAGGCUCUAUCAUGUAUGCAAUGUUGUGUACCAGACCUGAUGUGUGCCUUGCUAUAAGCCUAGCAGGGAGGUACCAAAGUAAUCCAGGAGUGGAUCACUGGACAGCGGUCAAGAACAUCCUGAAAUACCUGAAAAGGACUAAGGAUAUGUUUCUCAUUUAUGGAGGUGACAAAGAGCUCAUCGUAAAUGGUUACGUUGAUGCAAGCUUUGACACUGAUCCGGACGAUUCUAAAUCACAAACCGGAUACGUGUUUACAUUGAACGGUGGUGCUGUCAGUUGGUGCAGUUCUAAACAAAGCGUCGUGGCGGGAUCUACGUGUGAAGCGGAGUACGUAGCUGCUUCAGAAGCAGCAAAUAAAGGAAUCCAGAUUUCAGAAGAGAUAUAGAUUUGCAAGAUACAUACGGAUCUGAAUGUUGCAGACCCGUUGACUAAGCCUCUUCCACGAGCAAAACAUGAUCAGCACCAAGGCUCCAUGGGUGUUAGAAUCAUUACUGUGUAAUCUAGAUUAUAGACUCUAGUUUAAGUGGGAGACUGAAGGAAAUAUGCCCUAGAGGCAAUAAUAAAGUUAUUAUUUAUUUCCUUAUAUCAUGAUAAAUGUUUAUUAUUCAUGCUAGAAUUGUAUUAACCGAAAACAUAAUACAUGUGUGAAUACAUAGACAAACAAAGUGUCACUAGUAUGCCUCUACUUGACUAGCUUGUUGAUCAAAGAUGGUUAUGUUUCCUAGCCAUAGACAUGAGUUGUCAUUUGAUUAACGGGAUCACAUCAUUAGGAGAAUGAUGUGAUUGACAUGACCCAUUCCGUUAGCUUAGCACCCGAUCGUCUAGUAUGUUGCUAUUGCUUUCUUCAUGACUUAUACAUGUUCCUAUGACUAUGAUAUUAUGCAACUCCCGUUUACCGGAGGAGCACUUUGUGUGCUACAAAACGUCACAACGUAACUGGGUGAUUAUAAAGGAGCUCUACAGGUGUCUCCAAAGGUACAUGUUGGGUUGGCGUAUUUCGAGAUUAGGAUUUGUCACUCCGAUUGUCGGAGAGGUAUCUCUGGGCCCUCUCGGUAAUGCACAUUACUUAAGCAUUGCAACUAAUGAGUUAGUUGCGGGAUGAUGUAUUAUGGGAUGAGUAAAGAUACUUGCCGGUAACGAGAUUGAACUAGGUAUUGAGAUACUGACGAUCGAAUCUCGGGCAAGUAACAUACCGAUGACAAAGGGAACAACGUAUGUUGUUAUGUGGUCUGACCGAUAAAGAUCUUCGUAGAAUAUGUAGGAGCCAAUAUGAGCAUCCAGGUUCCUCUAUUGGUUAUUGACCAGAGACGUGUCUCGGUCAUGUCUACAUAGUUCUCGAACCCGUAGGGUCCGCACGCUUAACGUUUCGAUGACAUUUAUAUUAUGAGUUUAUAUGUUUUGAUGUACCGAAGGUUGUUCGCUGUCCUGGAUGUGAUCACGGACAUGACGAGGAGUCUCGAAAUGGUCGAGACAUGAAUAUUGAUAUAUUGGAAGCCUAUGUUUGGAUAUCGGAAGUGUUUCGGGUGAAAUCUGGAUUUUACCGGAGUACCGGGAUGUUACCGGAACCCCCCGGUAACUAAAUGGGCCUUAGUGGGCCUAGGUGGAAGAGAGGAGAGGAGGCAAGGGCUGGCUGCGCGCCCCUCCCCCCCCCCCUAGUCCGAAUAGGACAAGGAGAGGGGGGCGGCGCCCCCCCCCCUUCCUUCCUUCUCCUCCACUCCUUCCCCCUCCCAAGUCCUAAUCCAACUAGGAAAGGGGGGAGUCCUACUCCCGGUGGGAGUAGGACUCCUCCGGCGCGCCUCCUCCUAUGGCCGGCCGCACCCCCCUUGCUCCUUUAUAUACGGGGGCAGGGGGCACCCCAUAGAUACAACAAUUGAUCGUUUGAUCUUUUAGCCGUGUGCGGUGCCCCCCUCCACCAUAGUCCACCUCGAUAAUACUAUAGCGGUGCUGAGGCGAAGCCCUACGUCGGUUGAACAUCAUCAUCGUCACCAUGCCGUCGUGCUGACGAAACUCUCCCUCAACACUCAGCUGGACCGGAGUUCAAGGGACGUCAUCGGGCUGAACGUGUGCUGAACUCGGAGGUGCCGUGCGUUCGGUACUUGAUCGGUCGGACCGUGAAGACGUAUGACUACAUCAACCGCGUUGUGCUAACACUUCCGCUUUCGGUCUACGAGGGUACGUGGACAACACACUCCCCUCUCGUUGCUAUGCAUCACCAUGAUCUUGCGUGUGCGUAGGAAAUUUUUUCAAAUUACUACGUUCCCCAACAGUCCUCAUAAAUGGCAUUGUACCUGCCCUACAACCUAGCUAUGAGCACUUGCCAUCGAAAGCAAAAAUAUGCUUCUCCUUCUGUGUUGUUUAUCCCAAGGAUAGGAUGAUGGAUAAAGACAUAUUAAUCCGGCUAUGGAUGGAAAGUGUCUUCGUUGCAUCAGAAACAGCAGGCCAACAAAUUUGCGAUGUUCUAUUUUGGAGAUGUUUCUUACAAGAUGUGGAUAUUGGUAGGAUGUCUUCAUACAUAAUAUACAUGAUUUCAUGCAUGAUCUUGUUGACUCUGUAAGAAGAAAUAAUUGCUUACUUAUGCAAGAAUCUUCAUCGUCCCAAGAAAUUGUGGAACGAUCUACUGAUGGGAGUUCAUUUCAAUAUGAGGUUCAACAUUCGUCACUUGAUUUUUUAGUAAUAUUGCCACUUCGUAGGAAAUUAUUGCUCCCUGUCCGCUCACGAUAUUAGUCUCAUGAGAGAAGGACUGUAUUAAGACUCCGCUGCAUAUGGUCACAUAUAAAUUCAUGUUCCUGCAAGCAUUGAAGUCAUCCUCAAUCAAAACGCACAUGGGAAACUUAAAGCAUCUUCACUACCUAGAUUGUUCUAAUUCUUGUAUGUUUGAAUUGCCUGAAUCCACUACGUACCAUCUUGCAUAUAUAGCUUCCAAAAACUAAGGCUCAACCAUCAUUUAUUCCUUUACUAGAAGAGAUGAAAUUUAUGAGAAGUCUUCGGCACAUCUUCCUUACUAACUAUGGUUGUUUGGACCACAUGCCACAAGGUAUUGGUUAAUUGAAUUCUCCGACCACAUUGAUGAAUUAUGUCAUUGAUAGUGAUUCGGGUUAUGGGAAUUGAUCAACAUGAAAAUUUGAGUCUAGGUGGUGCUCUUUCUUUUACUCAAUUGAUAAAGGUGAGUAGUGCAAAAAAGUGUUAAACAAGGCAAUAUGUCCACCAAAGCAUAAGUUGAAAUGAUUAUCACUCGAUUUGUACUGGGAUUAUAGAAGAAACUAUGGAGAUAAAGUACAUAAUAAUGCGAAAGGAAUAUUACAAGCCCUUCACCCUAAAAAAGGAUUAAAUUUUUAUUGUUAAUUAUGUUGUUAUACUGGAGCUAAAUUAUCAUCGUGGAUGCAAAACUCUACACUGUUCAAACACCUCCCUGAUUGCUAUUCAAGUAGAUGCAAGAACGGCAAGGAUCCCCACCAUUAUGGCAGCUUCCUUGCAUCAAGUAGUGGCGUUUGGAAUGCUUGAUGUGUAUAUGUGUUUGUAAUAAUGAUAAAAAAUGUGAGGAAUCCUGUAUUUCUCCACAAUCAUUCUUCCCAAAACUAGAAAACCUAAUAGAUAGCAACAUUCCAAAGCUACAGAGAUGGCACCAUGAGGUUGUGAUACGUCUCCAACGUAUCUAUAAUUUUUGAUUGUUCCAUGCUAUUAUAUUAUCUGUUUUGGAUGUUUAAUGGGCUUUAAUAUGCUCUUUUAUAUUAUUUUUGGGACUAACCUAUUAACCGAAGGCCCAGUGCAAAUUGCUGUUUUUUUUUGCCUAUUUCAGUGUUUCGCAGAAAAGGUUAUCAAAUGGAACGAAACCUUCGCGAGGAUCUUUCUUGGAACAAACGCAACCCAAGAGACUUGGAGUGGAAGUCAAGGAAGAAACGAGGCAGCCACGAGGCAGGAGGGCGCCCCCCCACCCUCGUGGGCCCCUCAUAGCUCCACCGACCUACUUCUUUCGCCUAUAUAUACUCUUAUACCCUGAAAACAUCGAGGGGAUCCACGAAACCACUUUUCCACUGCCGCAACCUUCUGUACCCGUGAGAUCCCAUCUUGGGGCCUUUUCCGGUGAUCGUCCAGAGGGGAUUCGAUCACGGAGGGCUUCUACAUCAACACCAUAGCCUCUCCGAUGAUGUGUGAGUAGUUUACCAUAGACCUUCGGGUCCAUAGUUAUUAGCUAGAUGGCUUCUUCUCUCUCUUUGGUUCUCAAUACAAAGUUCUCCUCGAUUUUCUUGGAGAUCUAUUCGAUGAAAAACCUUUUGCGGUGUUUUUGCCGAGAUCCAAUGAAUUGUGGGUCUAUGAUCAAGAUUAUCUAUGAAAAAUAUUUGGUUCUUCUCUGAAUUCUUAUAUGCAUGAUUUAAUAUCUUUGCAAGUCUCUUCGAAUUAUCGGUUUAGUUUGGCCUACUAGAUUGAUCUUUCUUGCAAUGGGAAAAGUGCUUAGCUUUGGGUUCAAUCUUGCGGUGCUCGAUCCCAGUGACAGAAAGGGAAACGACAUGUGUUGUAUUGUUGCCAUCGAGGAUAAAAAUAUGGGGUUUAUAUCAUAUUGCUUGAGUUUAUCCCUCUACAUCAUGUCAUCUUGCCUAAUGCGUUACUCUAUUCUUAUGAACUUAAUACUCUAGAUGCAUGCUCGAUAGCGGUCGAUGUGUGGAGUAAUAGUAGUAGAUGCAGAAUCGUUUCGGUCUACUUGUCACGGACGUGAUGCCUAUGUUCAUGAUCAUUCCUAGAUAUUCUCAUAACUAUGUGCUUUUCUAUCAAUUGCUCAACAGUAAUUUGUUCACCCACCGUAAUAUAUGCUAUCUUGAGAGAAGCCACUAGUGAAACCUAUGGCCCCCGGGUCUACUUUACAUCAUAUAAGUUUCCGAUCUACAAUUCUAGUUUACUAUUUAUUUUCAAUCUUUACUUUUCCAAUCUAUACAACAAAAAUACCAAAAAUAUUUAUCUUAUUAUCUUUAUCAGGUCUCACUUUUGCAAGUGGCCGUGAAGGGAUUGACAACCCUUUUAUCGCAUUGGUUGCAAGGUUCUUGAUUGUUUGUGCAUGUACUAGGAGAUUUGUGUGUAGUCUCCUACUGGAUUGAUACCUUGGUUCUCAAAAACUAAGAGAAAUAAUUACACUACUUUGUUGCAUCACCCUUUCUUGUUCAAGGGAAAACCAAUGUAUGCUCAAGAGGUUGCAGGAGAAGUAACAGAUGUAGCAUUCCUUUAGCUCAAGAUGUUAAAUAUUCGUAAUUACUCAGUGCGAGAAAGUACACCUCAGAUGCUCCCUUUGGUUGAAGAUCUAUAGGUGUUUGGAAAAAACAUUUUUCCAAUUUACCAUUAGAUGAAUUUGUGAGUGCAAUCUAAUCUUGAGUGCGAAGGUAUAUUUUGUGGAACCUACAGUCGAUUGUCUGCUUACUGAUGACCUUCAUAUCCCAAGUCAUGGAGACUAACAUGUCACUAAUGCUCAUAGGUCUGACAAAAAAAUGUGGAAUUCUUUGAAGAAGAGCUUAACAGAAUAUGCAAAGGUGGAGAUAAUAGAUCGUGACUGUGUAGUUGCUUGUUUGAUGCUAUGUGAUUCAUUUGGUUAGGUUGCUUGUUUUGAGGGCUCAUAUUAUCAAACUUGUUGAACAACCACUGCAGAUGCUUUGAUUUCUUUUAUUUGGAAAUUGUUAAUUAUUGAAUGUUGAGCAUCAAAGAAAAUUGACCGAGUACAAAAAAAUAGGGGGGGGGGAGGAGGUGGCGAACGUGUCCGUGCUCUAGCACCCUCCCGGUUGUCCACGAACAUGUUCAGACAUGCGUCCAUGGAUGUUUGACGGUGUUCAUUUGAUGAAUAGAAAAGUGUAGGAUAUGCCCUUUGUCUUCAAGGCAACUUUUAAUGCUUAAAAAUUGACUUUGAUUUUUAGAAGGGACAUAGGUUUAUUGUAAAGGUCUAUCCUCUUUAUAAUAGUUGAUUUAGGAAUAAUUAUUUCCAACCUAGUACAUAUUGAUAAUUUGUUUGAAGGUUACACGAGUAAAUUGAAAUUGAGAAACUAUUUGAAAGUUUUGUGCAUAUAUUUUUGAAACUCAGAAGUUGCAACAAUGUGUUGCGGAAUCAAUGACUUGAUGAGGGGCAAAUUGAUCAAUCCUGAAAGCCAUGUAGAAAUAUCAAAUCGGUUAUACCAAAGUAUGUAUAGAACACAUCAAUCUAGAUUUGACAUAUCAAUGCGAGGGGAUACAAACUUAGUAUCAACAUAUCUUUUUGCAUUCACUGGACACUAUUCUUUUGGAUAUCCAUGAUCAAGAUAUGUUGCAUUAAAGAAAUGGUGGAAGUCAGAUGUGUAGUAUCAACAUCAUUAAUAAAGGAUAUCCAAAUUGAGUAUAUACAUAUUUGUAUAUAGAUUUGACACUAAUCAUAUGCAUAUCCAUGACGCAACUUGCAAACUUCAUUUAUGAAACCCAACUAUACGCAUUAUAAAUAAACAUCAACCUCCCAUACAUCAUAUCCCUCCAACUCCUCACCCCCCCCCCCACGCAAAUAUCCAUGCACAUAUUAGAUAUCAUUAAAAAGGAGAUCAAAACUGAGCACUCAAAUAUUUAUGCACAGAUUAACCAAUAAUAAUAGGCAUAUCCAUGACCAAGCUCCAUACUGCAUUUAUGAACCCCACUAUACACAUUAUAAAUAAAUCUCAACCUCUCAUACAUCAUAUCCAACCAUUUUCCCCCUACACAACCAUCUAUAUCCAUUUAUCCCCACCUCUCUAGGUUGUAGUACAAUUCAACGCUUCUAACAAGCCUUGCAACAAUAUAUAUAUGGCACGAACACAGAUGGACACCAUCAUCUUUUCCGCCAUUGUCUUCAUGUUGCUUUUCGUGACCACGACGGCUCAAGCCAGUGGAUCUGGUGGUGCCAAGCCCAAGGCGACCGACCUCGUGAUAGAAGUGUGCAAGAACGCCACAUUAAACAACGCAAAUGUGGAUCCUCUCAGAGAGGAAUUCUGUUUAACGACCCUCUAGUCAGACAAUCGAAGCGCUGAGGCUAAGGAACUCCGUGACUUGCUGCAAGUCACCGUCGACAUCCUUAGGGGUCGAGUCACUACUACCAGCAGCAAGGUCAAGAAAAUGUUGGAAAACACCAAGAAGGGCACGGUGCCAAUGCGCGUCUUCAGUUUGUGUGAGGUGGAUUAUGACACCAUGGUGAGCGUCAUCAACAUAUGUGAUGCCAUUAUCAAGGAUUACCAACGUGACGAGGGCAGGCAAUGGUCCAAAGAGCUAGUCCGUUGGAUGGAUAUGGCACGUGAUCAUGUCAAUGAGUGCAUCUCUGAGCUUGUUGACAUGCCUGCAGUGGGGGCUCUUGUCAAUGAAAACAAUGAAUUGGGAAUGCUGGUUAAACUGAACACCGCCUUGGUAGCAGCCCGUAUGUUUCCCGAGUAAUAGGAUGUUUGUGUUUAUAUGGCAGAAAAUAUGUCGAUGAGAAAUAAAUUGUACUAUUAAUAGUUAUUACUAUAAAUAUAAUGAUAAAUGUGUUGUGGCAUCAAUAUGCAUGGUUUUCCACAAAUUUUUCAUUUUGCUAUGAUAAUUCUAGAUUUUUUGGGGCCCAUUCGUCUUUCUUUCUUCAAAGUCUUACAAUAAUGACAUCUAUCACUCGUUGUGGAACCUCUCUUUUAAAUUGGCUCUUGAAAUCCGAUUGUCAGUAUUUUUUUAAUAUACCAUUGUUAGUAUGUUAUUCUGAUGUGUUGAACUUAUCUAUCUCCCAAGUUAUCUCUAUGCGUGAAUAUUUUCAAGUAUGAAGAGCCAAGGUCAAUGUAACAGCGCAAACAAUUGCAACCACCCGUUUAGCCAACAGGCUACUACCAUCUACGUGUCAAUCCUUAUCUUUACAUAAUAUAAUAAUAAAGAACGGAGGCUUUCAUAUUGUCCAUCACUCAUCUGUUUAUAUCGAUCGAUUUUAUGUUAACCAUAAAAAUUAACGGCUGGGAUUUAAAAAUAAAUCAACACACAUGUAAUAAGAAAAGCAAACAAACAAACGCUAUGGAACAAAGUAAAAAAAGUCAUGAACGUUGCACGUCUCUCUUGACGAUGAGAAAAAGGAAAACAAUCAUAUAUAUCAGAUCAAUUUCCUGACAAUCCCUCUUUGGCACUGCAAGCGCCGGUUAUAACUGUUUUGUGCAAACCGGCGCCUGCAGCCCACAUCCCUCUAAUGCGACUGGGCCGGUCCAUGUAUCUGCUUUUAUAUUUUUUUCUAAAGGUUCAGAAAAUGUGUGUCCGCACGAAAUUGAACUCAAGAUCUGCUCUAGUAAAUUAGCACCGCAACCAUCAGGCCACAAAAUAUCGCGGUAACUCCUCCGUUUGGGAAUCUUCCAGAACCUUCCCUAAACCGUUUUUUGGUUCGUUGGUCAUUUCCAGGUGCGAUUUUACUCGGUUUUCUUUUGUUCUUUUCCUUUUAUUUCUUAAAUGCGUUUUUUUAUCGUGUUAUUUUUCAAAAUCAAUCAUGUUUUUCUCUUUCACGUAUUUAACAAAAUCAAUGAACUUUUUUCCAAAUUCGAUGAACCUUUUUAAAAAUUGAUGAACUUUUUUGAAAUACGAGUAACUUUGUUCAAAUCUGAUGAACUUUUUUUUCAAAAUUGAUUCUACAACUAUCGCUAAUGCAUAGUGAUAAAGUAAGUCAAUUACAUGGCAUUUGCAUCUCAUACAAUAAAGCGACAACCAUAAGGCAACUGCCAGUUGCCGAUAACUUUUACAAAACAUGAUCAUCUCAUACAAUAACGUAUAUCACAUCAUGUCUUGACCAUAUCACAUCACAACAUGCCCUGCAAAAACAAGUUAGACAUCCUCUACUUUGAUGUUGCAAGUUUUACGUGGCUGCUACGGGCUUCUAGCAAGAAACAUUCUUAACUACGCAUCAAAACCACAACGGUGAUUUAUCAAGUUUGUUGUUUUAGCCUUCAACAAGGACCGGACGCAGUCAAAUUCGAUUCAACAAAAGUGGGAGAAACAGACACCCACCAGCCACCUUUAUGCAAAACUAGUUGCAUGUCUGUCGGUGGAACAGGUCUCAUGAACGUGGUCAUGUAAGGUUGGUACGGGCCGCUUCAUCCAACAAUACCGCCGAAUCAAAAUAAGACAUUGGUGGUAAGCAUAGACCUGGCUUGGAUGCCACUGUUGGUGCAAUUUCAAAAAAAAUCCUACGCUCACGUAAGAUCUAUCUAGGAGAUGUAUAGCAACAAGAGGGGGAGAGUGUGUCCACGUACCCUCGUAGACCAAAAGCAGAAUCAUUUUGACAAUGUGGUUGAUGUAGUCGAACUUCUUCUCGUUCCGACCGAUUAAACACCGAACGUACGGCACCUCCGAGUUCUGCACACGUUUAGCUCAAUGACGUCCCUCGAGCUCUUGAUCCAACAGAUUGUCGAGGGAGAGUUUCGUCAGCACAAUGGCGUGGUGAUGGUGAUGGUGAAGUGAUCCGCACAGGGCUUCGCCUAAGCACUAUGACAACUAGUCGUCUACCCGUGCGUUCGCACGGGCUAUAGAAAUUAUAUAUUUACAAAAUCUUCACAAUACAUAUUCUAAGGACAAUGGUGAUUGAUAUUAGAUGACAUUUCAUUUUCCUAUCCUCACUGUAAUGGAUGAGCCCAAAAUUAGAAAGAUAACAAUACAUGCCAUAGCAUUAAUAAUUAACAUAGAGAACCUUUUGUUGUAUAAAUCAUUCUUAGAUUCUCGUUGACAACCUUGAAUCAUAAGAACUGGCCAAAUUAUGUCUCUGUAUAACUUGUGUUGGUAUAUUUUAGUUAGAAAUCAAUAAUACUUUUGCUAAUAUUUGACCUGAAAAUGAGAAUGUUUUUUAUAAUUUAUACCACGAUGUAUGUCAGGAAGAACCUAUAAAUAUAAUAAAGUGGUGUUGUCUAUGUAAAAAAAGUCUCGCAUAAAUUUGAAUAUAAAGACAUUAUUUUGUUUGUUCUUGGAAUUAUUAUAUCCUCGAGUAAUAUUGUAUGAAUAAAUAUAUGACAACCCAAUUGUAUAGUUGGAUUAUUUUUAAUAUGCAGAACUCCAAAGCACGGAAGGUUCAUAUUAGAAUUUUUAAUGCAUGUAAUGUAUCAAAUUCUGAAGUAGAUUUGAAAGUCUGAUAUCAUAAUACAUUUCACAAUGACUCCAAAAAAGAUUUUGGUUGAUGGCUUGCGUGAAAUUUGUUUCAUUAGAUUUUUCACAUGAAAUAUGUUCAGAGUAUUACUCUUUGAACUUGUUGUGUUUGCAUGUUCGAGCAAAAAAUAAUUAUCAAGUUUAAUAGUAAGAAACUUAAAAUGAUUAGAAACUUUAAAUAGUAUUGGGACUCAUAGAGUGCAAUUUUUAAAUGUUACCAGUUCCUCUCAUCAUGGGCGUAGUCAAUUGGAACACUUGGUUUGUUUUUCCUGUUUGCAGUUGAGAAGGUGAAUCUUACUGACUACAUAUAAUGUAUUGAUUUCUACUCCAGCACGUACGCCAUGACAAACUUGUACCUGCUGCGAGGCCCUCUCGAGCAAUCGAUACAUACAUAUGUUAGUGCGUAUACUUUCUUUUAAUGUAUAUACUUGUCUUUGCUAUAGCCUUCUUCCUACAUCUGCGAGUAAGCAGCAACCUGUUUUUUUAAUAAUUGUCACCUUGAACAUGGCACACAUGAACCCUAUAUUCCUCCAUUGCCGAACCAUCUAAAACAACUAACUUUUCCUUACUCACUGACACACGGUUUUAAGCAUCAUCCCAUACUGUUCAUUUUUCAUAUUCUAAUAUGUUUUCCAAACUGAGAAAAUGAUACAACCAAUCAUAUCUAGCGAAAUUGUUCUGCAACUUUCUUGCUGUAAGCAUGAUAUAAUUCUUCCUUGAAAUUGAUGGGAAAUAGGCUAAAGGGUAAUCUGUUUCUAUUAAAAACUACAACGCAGAAUCAGGUUUUUCGUCUUAGUUUGCAAACCCUAAACAAGAAUCGAACGAAAUUGGUACCACUGGAAAGCUUGCAACGUAUCCCAUAACUUUUACCACUGUCUUAAUUUCAGAUUAUGCAAUGUUUUAUCACAGUUUUAAACUUAACUCUACCGGCUCAGACAACCCAUGCCUAGAUAAAUACUUAGCGUCAGUCUCUCCAAUCCAUCUUUCUACUUUGCCAAUAAUGACUAAUUAGGGUUUACCUUUUCUGUGUGGAAUCAUUCUUCCAGUUCCAUGGCAAGAUCACAAAUUUUGGACGACCCAACGGAUUCUCCUUCCUCCAGAGUCUUCUUCUCCGCUCAGAUUGGCUACUGCGCCUUACUCUUCUGAUUACAUGUAUUCCCUUCUCUCUUCUGACUAAAUUCUCCCUGGUGCAAUAUGUGCAGUCUACUGCCUUGAGCUGCUCCUUGUCAUAGCUUGCUCUGCACUCCAGAUCUCUUGCUCUGAUUGGUGGCUGGAUCAAAUGCAACCCACCCAACAGUAGUUAGCUCAACAUAAGCGGCUUCAAAAAAACGCAAGGAGCAGCACAUAAACGUAAAGGUCGACGACUGAAAAUGGCAACACCAUCCUAGAGCAGUGGAGCUCACGGCUAUACGUAGAACUUGGUGGUGGUAGUCAUGAACAGCGACCAGCACCAGCCUCCGGUAGAAGGGGGCAGUUCAUCCAUGUGCUUGAGUGUUGACGGCUGGCCAUAUUGUGAACGACAGAGUCGUCAAUUCUGACUAAGUGUAGUCUCAUGCUGAUUCUCUACUGCCGCAUAGGCAUGUCCGGCGGUGGCCAGCGUGACUGCAUGCUGGGUCAUCGAUCAAUGAUCCGGGCAAUUCAAUUGUAAACCCCAAAAAAGCAAAUUCAAAGCAAAUCAGUGUGAGAUGAGGAACCUGAUUUAGAUAAGGAACAAAAUUCUAAUGUGAUAACUUCAGCGAGAGCUUGGGAUCCAUGCCCUAACAUCCUUGCUCCAAUUUGAGAGAGAGAACGAUCUGUUUACCAUGUGUGAAGUAAAGAGAGACAUGAGAGAAGAGAUAUAUGAGAGUUUGAGAGAGGGAGAAACGGGAUAGAUUGAGAGAGAUAGACGAAGAUAAAUAUGACAGUUUGAGAGAGAGAAAGAGACGUGAGGGACUAAGAGAGAGAGAGUUUGAGAGAGGGACGUCAGAGAUUGUGAGAGACCACGAUUUCUUAGGUUGUUGUUUUUCUUUUACUCUGAGAGGAAUAGAAAGAGGUAGAUAUUUUAUGGUUUACUAUUCAAAAGUUUUUUUGGCAGAACUAAGCUGCCUGAAUGGUCAAAAAAAAUAUUGUUCUCUGAAGAUUAAUCUACACCGUAAUAACUCGGUCCCACCAGAUGAACGGCUGGUAAAUUCUAAUUAACGUGGUAAUUUUUAGGGAGUCUGUAAUUAAUAUAAGUAUAGAUAUAGAUAUAGAUAGAUAGAUAGAUAUAGAUAGAUAGAUAUAGAUAGAUAGAUAUAGAUAUAGAUAGAUAGAUAGAUAGAUAGAUAGAUAGAUAUAGAUAGAUAGAUAUGACUGAAGGCGUAAACUGUGGAGGGGCGCCGCACACGGCUAGGAAUCAAUGUUGUGUGUUCUAGAGAUGCCCCUCCCACAUAUAUAUUAGGUGGGAGAGGGAGGGGAGCAGCAAGGGGCGCCUCCUCCAAGUCGCCCCCCCCUCCCUUUCAUAAGUGUUGGAGGCUGAAUCCUCCCCUUUCCUUCUCCCUUCCCUCCUUUCCUUCUUCUCCUAUUUUGGUCUACAUGGGGCGCACCAGCCCACUAGGGGCUGGUCUGUCCCCUGCUUGGCCCAUUAGGCCCAUGUAGUUGCCGGGGGAUGUCCGGAACCCCUUCCGUUGACCCGAUAUGUACCAGGAACCCUCGGAACACUUCCAGUGUCCAAAUACCAUCGUCCUAUAUAUGAAUCUUUACCUAUCGACCAUUUUGAGACUCCUCGUCAUGUCCGUGAUCUCAUCCGGGACUCCGAACAACAUUCGGUCACCAAAUCGCAUAACUCAUAUAAUACAAAAUCGUCAUCAAACGUUAAGUGUGCGGACCCUACGGGUUCGAGAACUAUGUAGACAUGACUAAGACACCUCUCCGGUCAAUAACCAACAGCGGAAACUGGAUGCUCAUAUUGGUUCCUACAUAUUCUACGAAGAUCUUUAUCGGUCGUACCGUAAUGACAACAUACGUUAUUCCCUUUGUCAUUGGUAUGUUACUUGCCCGAGAUUCGAUCGUCGAUAUCUUCAUACCUAUUUCAAUAUCGUUACCGGCAAGUCUCUUCACUCGUUCCAUAAUACAUCAUCCCAAAAUUAACUCAUUAGUCACAUUGCUUUCAAGGCUUAUUAUGAUGUGCAUUACCGAGAGGGCCCAGAGAUACCUCACCGAUACUCGGAGUGACAAAUCCUAAUCUCAAUCUAUGCCAACCCAACAAACACCUUCGGAGAUACCUGUAGAGCAUCUUUAUAAUCACCCAGUUCCGUUGUGACGUUUGAUAGUACACAAGGCAUUACUCCGGUAUCCGAGAGUUGCAUAAUCUCAUAGUCAAAGGAACAUGUCUAUGACAUGAAGAAAGCUGUAGCAAUAAAACUGAACGAUCAAUAUGCUAAGCUAACCGAUGGGUCUUUUCCAUCACAUCAUUCUCCUAAUGAUGUGAUCCCGUCCAUCAAAUGACAACACAUGUCUAUGGUUAGGAAACUCAACCAUCUUUGAUUAACGAGCUAGUCUAGUAGAGGCUUACUAGGGAAACUGUGUUUUGUCUAUGUAUCCACACAUGUAUCUAGUUUCCGGUUAAUACAAUUCUAGCAUGAAUAAUAAACAUGUAUCAUGAUAUAAGGAAAUAUAAAUAAGAACUUUAUUAUUGCCUCUAGGGCAUAUUUCCUUCACUAAGAGAGGAAGGCGGUUGUCGCCCUUGUCCCUUGUUACCAGCCUACCAUGCCGUCAUCGAUCACUGGCUCACUUAGAACACGAGCUAGUAGAUUUUGUGAUAAGAGUGAGGAGGAUGGUACCGUAGAAAAUGUGAAAAAUUGUAUUUUAUUAGAGAUGGAUUCAAAACAAAUUGCUUGAGCGAGUGGUUUAUAUAUUUUCUUCAUCAAUUCGUACAAUUUUUUGGUUAGGAUAGAGGGGUAAAUGCAUUGGUUGGGUGCUUCAAGAUUUAAUAACGGACACAGUGGCAUAUUGGUUUCAUGCCAAACAACCGACAUCAUAUUUUUCUUUUGUCGUAAGGUACGACAUUCAACUGUAUGUUGGCAAUGUCUAAGGACAAUCAUAUCUGCCUUCUUGGGCGUCACGGGAGGCACAUGCCUUGUUCCCUUGAUGGAGGUGGCAGAUGGCAUGAUCACGGGGGGAGGGGAUCAGGGCAGAGAGCGGGGCGGUUGGCAGGUGAUAACCCACAAGUAUAGGGGAUCACAACAGUUUUCGAGGGUAGAGUAUUCAACCCAAAUUUACUGAUUCGACACAAGGAGAGCCAAAGAAUAUUCUCAAGUAUUAGCAGUUGAUUUGUCAAUUCAUCCACACCUGUAAGACUUCAUAUCUGCAGCAAAUUAUUUAGUAGCAAAGUAGUAUGGAAGUAACGGUAACGGUGGUAAAAGUAACAGUAACAGUUCUGUAGUAAUUGUAACAGUGGCAAUGGUAAAGUAACUAAGCAAAGAUCAAUAUGUGAAAAGCUCGUAGGCAUUGGAUCAAUGAUGGAUAAUUAUGUCGGAUGUGAUUCCUCAUGCAACAGUUAUAACAUAGGGUGACACAGAACUAGCUCCAGUUCAUCAAUGUAAUGUAGGCAUGUAUUUCGAAUAUAGUCAUACGUGCUUAUGGAAAAGAACUUGCAUGACAUCUUUUGUCUUACCCUCCCGUGGCAGGGGGUCCUGUUGGAAACUAAGGGAUAUUAAGGCCUCCUUUUAAUAGAGUACCGGACAAAAGCAUUAACACUUAGUGAAUACAUGAACUCCUCAAACUAUGGUAAUCACCGGGAGUGGUCCCGAUUAUUGUCACUUCGGGGUUACCGGAUCAUAACACAUAGUAGGUGACUAUUGACUUGCAAGAUAGGAUCAAGAACUCACAUAUAUUCAUGAAAACAUAAUAGGUUCAGAUAUGAAAUCAUGGCACUCGGGCCCUAGUGACAAGCAUUAAGCAUAGCAAAGUCAUAGCAACAUCAAUCUCAGAACAUAAUGGAUACUAGGGAUCAAACCCUAACAAAAAUAACUCGAUUACAUGGUAAAUCUCAUCCAACCCAUCACCGUCCAGCAUGCCUAUGAUGGAAUUACUCACGCACGGCGGUGAGCAUCAUGAAAUUGGUGAUGGAGGAAGGUUGAUGAUGACGAUGGCGACGGAUUCCCCUCUCUGGUGCCCCAAACGGACUCCAGAUCAUCCCUCCCGAGAGAGAUUAGGGCUUGGCGGCGGCUCCGUAUCGUAAAACGCGAUGAAUUCUUAUCUCUGAUUUUUUUCUCCCCGAGCGUGAAUAUAUACAGUUGGAGUUGAGGUCGGUGGAGCUUCAGGGGGCCCACGAGGCAAGGGGGCGCGCCCCCCACCCUCGUGGACAGGGUGUGGGCCCCUUGGUGUUGAUUCAUUCGCCAGUAUUUUUUAUAUAUUCCAAAAUAUUCUCCGUGAAGUUUCAGGUCAUUCCGAGAACUUCUAUUUCUGCACAAAAAUAACACCAUGGCAAUUCUACUGAAAACAGGGUCAGUCCGGAUUAGUUCCAUUCAAAUCAUGCAAGUUAGAGUCCAAAACAAGGGCAAAAGUGUUUGGAAAAGUAGAUAUGAUGGAGACAUAUUAGUAGGGGAUUCCUCCUUGAUGGUCCAUGGGGUUGUAUGUUGUGAAGGAGAAAGGAGACUACAGCGAAGGUCAAGUGAGCGUCAUCAGAUUUUAAUGUAGAGAGCACCAACGACAAAUUCCCGUUUAUGGCGGAAAAUUGAGCGAGAAGGGGACGUUCCGGUAGGAAAAGGGAAGGGUGCAUCGUCGAGUGGAGUUUUUGUGUUGGAACCGCGUGUUGGAGAUGAUGGAGGAUAAUAUGGAAAACCACAUAUCUUCCUCACAUAUAGGUUGGAUUUUGGUGAUCCCAGACUAUCUGAAUGGUUGGAUUUUCAGGAGCCUUUUAGGCGCCUAUCUGAUGUUCGAACACUCUCGGACAUAUGAGAGAGAAAUGGGCUUCAACCUUGGAGAUGAUCUUAAUCAUUUGUCUUGUCUAAUUCAUUUUUAUAUAUUAUAGCCUGUAGCAACACACGGGCAUUCCACUAGUAUUAAUUAGUGCUCUGGAAGACACCCGUUAAGAUGUGCUUCCAACACUCGAAGUGGGGGAUGUGUCCAAAUUAUGUCUUGACCGAAAUGCGCCCUGCAUCAAGAGUCAGUUGUCUAGCUGUAUGCCCUAUUCGCCACGCGGAGUUUCCUCGGUAAUUAAGGUAAAUCAAACAAAAUCAUUGGACAUUUAAUGACUACACCUUAUGCAUCCCCAGAGAUUGGAUCCACCCUACCAUACUAAGCCCUUCUAUCACUCGUGUUCAGAAUUGCACUUCACGUUGUCCCGUGUCCUAACCUCCACUUGGACCGAACUCCAGGAUCCAUGCAACCUGUAGGGCCGAAGAACGAGGUUGGGGGAGAGAGAGAGAAGAGACUACUAUGAUGUAAUUUUAUUUUAUAUAUACAUGACGUCCAUUCAAAGUCAUUCCAUCAACCCCUCAAACAAAUACAUCAGGUUGCAGGGACAUUGGACAUUGCCUUACCGAAUUACUCACACAUGGCGAUCGGAUCGCAAGAAGUAAUCAGUGAAGAAGACAUCGGAUCAGAUCACAAAACAAAGAGAGGAUUUCACAAUCCCUUGCAUUCAUCAGUCAUUAGUGGCAAUAUCAAUGGGAGUAUCAUAGAUUUUAUAAGAUAAACAUGUUUAGACUAUGGCAUGAUGAGCAUAAAAGUAACACACGUCAACUCUUCAAGAUUAAACUUGAUCAUCCUCUAGUAACAUAGAUAGAAAUCCAAACCGUAAGGAACUAGGUUGUUUAAUGCCUAGAUAGACCUCCGCUUCUUCACAUGAAAAGUUAGUAUAGCUGUAGCGGUGACAUGGUUAUUAUGCAAGUGUUAUUGAAGCAAAGAUAAUCAACACAAAGCUCUUGCUCACCUAGAAAAAAUAAAAAGUAGCUUUUAUUCUAUUUAAUCUAGUUAACACUUGCUUGCGGGGAACACAUGGAAGAGAAUUUUCUUUCUUGAGCAAUGAAAACAUAAAUUAAGGGAGUGAAAGUUAUGAAAACACAACAUGAUACUAGAGUAACUCAUUAACACCCACGAGUGUCUCAUCAUUAAUUCUCGCAAGGACUUCGCUUCAAUCAUUGCUUGCUGAAACUUUUCUUGUCUAGUGACGAGAUUAUGCCAAAGAAAUUAUUCAUGCAUAAGGUUUCGCAGAGGCUUAAGCUUGAGUACUAUUGAUGAGUCCAAAUUGUGUGAUUAUUUCUACGAGUAUUUUGUGCCAACUCCAUAGGCUUUGUGGAAUGUUACUGCGUUCACACACUAUUUUUGUCAUUUUUCCCCAGGACACUUCUUUUGGAACAAAUGGAAAACUAUGGUAGGAAUCACAUGAUAUUAUGGUGGAAUCACAUAAAUCAAUGUGAUUAUACCUUACCAUAAAUAGAAUAAAAUACUUAAAGGAAAUUGGAUCUGGCGCAGUCCAACAAAGUGCAACACGGGCAACCAUACGAGCGCACGUGCUCGUGCAUGCAGCCGUAUGGCAUGCUGGUAGCUCCCUCCCGUCGACUACUUCUUCCCUAUGGAUAAAGAUCGCCGAAUAGACACACACACACACACACACACAUACACACAACCACCAGAAACACAUCCAGGAGGAGAACCCUAACUUUUUGAACCCAUCCAGAGGGGAAUUGGUAAGGAGGAGAUCGCCAUCUUCACCACCAGGUGCAAGGGGACGUUGGCAUCAUCACCACUGUCAUCAUCAUCAUAAUCCACAUCAAUCUUCAUCUCGUUGUAAUAUCAGAACUCUAGUGGAUCAUCAUGCGUGUUACUUGUUUGAUUCAUCCAUGUUUAUCGUGCAUAUUCUGCUUCCCCUAUGUAUGAGUAAACCCCCUAGUUCUUAGGGAUAUGGAUGAAUCUUGGUAUGUAUAGGAGCUGAAACGUUAAUAUGUGAUAUUUUCUGUUGAAUGAUUUAGUUUAAUAGACUUCGUGAAUGUUGUGAAGGCUCCUCCCUCAAAAUUAUCACCGAAAGGUCACAAAGUAUAUUACUGUCGUUUUAAGAGUUAGCGAGUGAAGGUAAUUCGAGGUGACAGCAAAAGCAUUCACCCCUAGGUUUUACAAUUGAUUAGGGAAUUACGGAGAACCUUAGUGAGGCCGCGUCCAUAGAGAGACCCUUAAUUACCGUAGUCGUAACUUGUUGGGGGAGACUACUGUAGUGGCAUGCGUGGCAUGAAGUCUACCUAGAGUAGAAUGUGCUCUGUGCCCGGCUAUGCCCGGUGUAAACGUCAAGAAUGGUGUAAGUACAUCUAGUGCCUCCUUUGUGGUUAUAGACUACUGAAGACAAAUGUGUUAAGAGACUAAUGUGUUUGUGAGUGUACAUAGGUGAAAAGUCACAGAAGAUGUUGUUUAACCAUGAAAGACGACCCCUAAAAAUGUACGUUUAGAUUGAAUAAAUUGGUGCGCCCCUUUGAAGAAAUUGACGUGACGAAUUGGAACGUGAAGAUUUUGUUCCAGUAGUUUCUUUUUUCUUAUAUUGAUUCAUAGGAAACACCAUACUGUUAAAGGGGGUCUAGGUCAUAUGUAUGCGUAUUUCCGAAGUGAUGCUCAACCUACCUAUUUCUUCGAGUGAAGACUAUGAAAAUCUCUUGAAGUGCAGUCGAGUUCCACAACAACAGAGACACAGUUCUUCUGUUCGUUGACGAAAUUGGUCUGAAGGAAGAGUUAGGAUUUCGCCGGUGUGAUUCUCCUACCGUGAGAAAUUUGAGAGUUUAAAUUUCCAACCGUUGCCGGACUAAGGCGGUUCUCGAGUCUAAGCCCGUCAUAAGUGUUGUGGCAACGGAGGUGCAAGAAGUGCUGAAGGUGGGGUACUAUCGAUGUCAUGGUGAGCGGUCUGAGGACCGGCAUGUCAUUCGCCAGUGACAAGAGUUCCGAGGUGGUGUACAAGUCAUCCUUCAUGUGUUUCUUGGUGCAGGUUCGGAGCUAGCAAAAACACAAGGAUGCUGAACAAAAGCACCCCAUCUCAUAUGAGCUGGCGCUAGUCCAGCCUCACCGUGCUGCCGCCACCACCUAUGUUAUUUGGCUUCGCAAUCCCCUCCUCCACGGAGAGAGGCAUGGGUUUACUUGGUGUGGAGUUCGACGUCACCUGCGGCGAGAGUGGAUGUCACAUAACUUUACAAGUGGGAUCCACCAAGAUACAGUGCCAUGUAGGCAAAGUUUGCGGUUACAUGCGAGAAAUGCACCAUAUUAGCCAACUGAUUGUACCAGAAAUCGAUUUCCAUCUUUUGGCAUGAAAAUGAACAUGCAAGCCAAGUUUAGGGACCACGGGUAAAUUCAUCUCUUAAAUAAUACAAAAGGCUUUUUCAUCCUCCCACAUCCUCCCUUUUACUCAUUGGAUAUCCACACACUACAGAGGAGCUUAGUAGCAGCGCUUUUUAUAAGAAAGCGCUGCUGCUAAAGAAUGGUAGCGCUUGUCACCGAAGAGCACUGCUAAUAUCCAUCUAGCAGUAACGCUUUUGUUACAAAAAACGCUACUACUAUAGUUGCCAACGGUUGCAUGGCAGUGUAGGUAUACUAGUAGCGCUCUUAAUUAAAAAGCACUACUGCUAUUGUACAUAGCAAUAGCGUUGUCCUCUGUCGAGCGCUACUGCUAUUUUUUCAGGUGUAUGUGUGGGCUGAUAUAUAACUGUACAACUUUCUCAUGUUGCGAGUGAAAGACAUUGUGAGUUUUCCAUGAUCUUGCUUAAAUACAGGUACGACUACUGAACUGAAAUUAAUCUUAUCGUGCAUAUUCACUUGCAAUUGGUAUUCGUAAAUCUACAACACAUGUCAUUAAUGCAACACAGCUUGAUCAUGGAUAUAAAAAAUGAUUAUUGUUCUUUGUAUGCACAUAUGUAUUGGUGGUUCAUCAAUGCCAUAUGCAUCUUGGCUAUAGAUAUCCAAAUUGUUAGUGUUUUAUCUCCACACAAAUAUGUUGAUCCUCCUAUUGGACAUGCUGGUCUUAGUGCCCUCUCUAUUCACAAAUAUGUUAAUGCUCAGUUUAGAUCUUCUCGUAUUAAUACACUUCUAGCUUCUAUUGGAUGGUGAAUGCAACAUUUCAUUUGUAUUAAUAUGUCUACUUGUUAUUGCGGGGAAUAUUAAUAUGUCUAAUGUAGCUUCAUUAAUGCAACUCAACUUGAUCAUGGUUUAAAUGAUCAUUGUUCAUUUUAUGCCCUUGCAAAAAAAAGAAGGGUUCAGUGUAUGUAUAGAUAUAUUGACAUGAUACAUGUUUUAGAUAACCUUGCAUUAAUAUGUCUAAUUUCCAUUUCUGUUCUCUUUCCUCGUUCUACAGAUUUCAUAUUUGUAUUCAUUUUAAGAGUUCUUCAAGAUGCACAUAAUUUAGUCACUGGUUACAAUCUAAAUGUAAGAAAGCACAUAAUCUGUAGAACGUGCAACCUAUGUGUUAUCCAUGUGAUAAAAUUAAAAUCAACAUCCUAGAUCAAAUGUCCAAGUCAACUAAAAAGAGAUUUCCUUACAAGUAAUGUCAAGCCGCAUUUUCAAAUCACAAACAGUUUUGAGCAAUGAAUGAUCUCAAAAAAAAAUCAUCCUGCCUGCCACCGUUUAUCUCUUUGGAUGUCCACAUAUUGUGUUUUUUUUAUGGUGAGCGUCUGUGCCAAUAGAUAAACUAACGAGUUUUUCAUCUUGUGAUCGAGUCAAAGAUAUUCGAUUCUGUGUUUUUCAUGAUCUUGCUUGUACGUACGACCAUGAAACUACUAUUGUUAUCGUGUAUGAAUACUUGCAACAGGGUGCUUCAGCGCCAGCACCGACCAUGGAUGCACAUGAGUAUGCAUGGAUGCGUGCAUGUAACGACCUGAUCGCUCCUGCAGGUGAAAGUACAUGUUUCUCUUAGGUCUGUGCACCAUCAAGGCCUUGAACAGUUCCUUCAUGAGUGUCAAGUGAGACUUCAUGUCUCUAUGGUGAACAGACAAACUUCAGCGGAUAUGUUGCUCUCAUGGCACGGCAAAGACAAGAACAAUAGAUGGACUCUUGCCACUAGUAGUAUUGAUCCACGCUUGACACAUGACUACUCAUGGAGAAGACCCAUUCCUUUAUAACAUUUCCCUUUUAUUCAGUCUGUUUUGGUGAAUCAGCAGUUAGAAGAACUUCUUCUUCUGUUAAAAAUAGGUUUUCUAACCCAAAUUAAAGUUAGAUUUCACAAGGAGUGAACCAGUGACAUUGUUGUAUCCCCUUGAAGCAGAGAAGACAUGGGUGCGACAAUCAUAUUUCCAAUCAUCCAGCUGGUCUUUUACAAGUAUCCCUUCUUGAAUACUCGGUUCAAUAAAUAAGUUGUUCACACUUCACAGCCAUCCAUGUGCAUAUAUAGUAAGUUAAUAACACAAAAUCCGAGUAAAUUUAUGCGACAAUAAGGUUUAUUAUUGUUAUUUCAAAUAACUGAUGCGACAACAAAUAAUAUUAAUCACGGACAUCAUAUGAUAUUAGUAAGGUGUUGUUGAGGAUGAGAAGCAUGUACAACUCCUCGUUUUCUCUGAUGAGCGCCUCCGCACCAGGCAUAUCUGGAAGCUCUAACCAACACAUGAUGAUAGGGUUGUAAUUAAUAUCCACACAGUCGGGCAGAUGCAAGAACUGCUGCCCACUCUUGUCACCUUGGUAGUCCUUGAUCAGGCCGUGGCACACGUUGAGGCGUCUCACCACACCUUCAUACUCCACCUCACAAUAACUGAGAACAUGCAUUGCCACUGUUCCCUUCUUGGCAUCUUGCAGCUUUUGCUUGAUCUUACGACUAGCGGCAGUGACACGGCUCUUAAAGAUGUCGACAGUGACAAGCACUAAGUCACGGAGGUCCUUAGCCUCAGCACUUCGAUUGUCCGACUGAAGGGUGGACAAGCAGAAUUCUUGCGUGAUAGAUUUGUUGUAGGGGUUGUUGAUCGAGGCCUUCUUGCAUGUUUCCACCAUGAGCUUGGUCGCCUUGGGCUUGCCAGUGUCAGAGCCACUAGCAUGAGCGGAAAAAAGGAAGAAGAUGAUGGUGGAGAGGACGAUGGUAGUCCUUGGCAUUGCUACCAUUACUACAGGGCUAGCUAGAAGCCUUGAAGUACUGAAGCGCUGAGAGGGAGGUGGAGAAAAAUAGACAGAGAAGGAUGUGUAUUGCAGAGAUGGAUGGGUGGAUGGAGGUGAUGUACAUGAGGCUGAGAAUUCUUUAUAAUGCCUGCAAUGGGGUAUCAUAAAUGCAGUAUGCAGCUUUGGUCCAGAAUAUGUGUACUAUCGGUGUCCAGUAAAUGUUGAAUGCCCAUUUUGGAUCCCUACAUAUUAAUGCUCUCUCUAUGUUCCACAAAUACACAGAUGCUCACUAUAGAUCGUGUUGUAGUAACACAUAUCUUACUUAUAUGAAUCCAUUAAUGCAACGUAGCUUGAUCAAGGAUAUCCCAAAUGAUUAGUGUGCACCGAAUGCCCAUAGAUAUGUUGAUGCUCAUUUUGGUACGUCUUAUUUGCAUUGGUGUUUUCUAAACAUCAUUUUGUAUAACUGAUUUGUUACUUCUACCUCCCUUUGGGGGACGAUUAUAUUUUCCCUCAUCAAGUCUAUAAUUGCUCAUUUUUUCUUUGCAAUUUUCGAGUAGUUACAAAUAAUUCUCAGGGAGCAGGCACUUAGUUAACUUGGUGACACAAUAAAUAUUUUUGUUAAAAUAUCAAAAUUUUAUAUUUUAAAUUUUUUUAUUUCCAAGUCGAUUAUUGUCUGAUGGGUUGACUUUUACAACAGUUGUAUUCCCCCAGUUAAAAAUCACAACUUAUUUUAGGGAUUAAAUGAUGCCAGCCGGACUAACGUAUCGUUCGUAGGCACUGUCAAAAAAUAAGCAUGUUUACUGCCCACCGCCUAAGAAAAUCAAAACAAAAAUUACCAAUACCAACACGUCACAGUAUGGGUUUAUUCGGUUUCGAUUCUCGUUACUACGUAGUAGGAAGGAAAAAAAAGAGCUAGCGAUCAUAAGGAGGUAACCUGUAUCAUAGGUACAUGAUGCGCACGUACACGCCGGUAUCUUAUAUUUUAUAUUUUAUAUCUUAUAUUUACUAAUUGGAAGCACCUUUCAAGUCUUCUCAUUAAUCAACAUUAUAAAAAUUAAAUACACCGUUGUAGUAUAGAAUUUACGUCUAAGAUGAAAGGAGAACUUACGUAACAUAAACUUGGAAGGGAAAAAGAUAUAGGGAAAGGAGAAUAAAAAUAGAAGUAAAACAAAGAAAAUAAUUUAGAUGGGCCAGCCCAUUAUUGUUUGCCUUGUGCGAAAUUCUGACUAUUUAUGGCGCUGUGCGGAAAAUAGAGUUUUUCCAGCUGCAUGGGCAGAAAAAUAAGUGGGCUGGCUUUGCUGGGCCACCGCGCGUGGCCCACGUACAACAAUUCUUUUUCUAGCAAACAAACGCAUAAGACCUUUGUACCACCUCGGGUAGAAAGAUUGUUUUUUCGACGGUGAACGGAUGAAAAUAUAGGCAAAACGCACCUUGCUUCAUUAGUAGUAGCACAUAUGCCCGUGCAUUGCAACGGGAGAGAUGUUUCUUUGGAGAAGCAAUGGGAGAGAUAAUUGAUGUCUCCACCAAAAAUGAUCUCCAUAACGGUGCGGUUAGUCGGCAUAGCGGCAACCAUACAACUCGUGCAUUUUUUUCCUUUGGGUCAGUCUCUGUCUCGGGGUUGUGUCUGCCUCUACGUUUGGUAGCUAUGCGGCGACCUUUAGAGCACGGUUGCUUCGACCACUCUCUCUUACGAUGGCGUAACCGGAUGAAUUACUAAUUGUAGCGCUUAAAUCCUGUUUCAUUAGCAUAUAUAUUUAGCGCAUAACCAGAUAUCAAUGUCCCUUCUUUAUUAGGGUUUAUUUUCUUUGAUUAUUUUAGGGCUCACGUGCCCACAACUAUUUUAUUCGAGCCAAACCAACAUAUUCUCUUUUAUUGGACCAAGAAAAAAUUGCUCCCUCAGACGACCCAGUAGGGAGUGUGGUUGAGGCCCAAUACAGCCUAUGCGUCGGAGCAAUGUUUUUCUUGGGCCAAGUAUGUGGGGGCUACUAUAUGACGCUAGUUGCGUAAAAUAACGUGUGAGAUGCACAUCAGUUCGUGUAUGGACCAACACACUGGUAGGCGCCAAGACGACCUAUGUUAGGAAGGCACGGAAAAAUCCAAAAAAUAAUGAGUUGAAGGAUCAAAAUCAUGUCCUGAAAGACCCGACUACGUGCUCAUAGCCACUCGAAGAAACGAGUCCUACCAACCAAUGGCCAGCUCAAACCUUUAAUAUCAUACUCCAAUGUGAGAUUGGAUACAAUUUUUUUAACUGUUUAAAACAUAUAAAUUGCUGAAUAUUCCUGAAAACAUGAAUAAUUUUUAAAAUCAUAAACACUUUUUGAAAUUCUUUACAUUUUCAGAAAUACACAACAAAAUUGGAAACCCUCAAAAUUCACAAAUUUAUUUGAAAUCAUAAACCUUUUAUAAUAACGUGAACACGUUUUGAAAAUGCGAUUUCGUUUGAAAAAGAAACAUAUUUUGAACAUUCAAAACAAUUUUUGAAAAUGUGUUUCUAUAAACUUGGACAUUACUUUGAAUUUGCGAACACUUCACUAAAACAAAAAUAUUUUUCAUAUUUGGAACAUUUUCUAAAUGCAUUUUUUUUGGGAAAAUCUCAAACAACUUUGGAAAACACAAAGAAAAAAUGGAACAUUUUUUGAAACCUGAACAAAUUUUGGAAUGAGAACAAAGCACUACUGGGAAGAGGCUAAUUAGUGGCGUACAUAUUUUUGCUAUUAAUGACGCACUAUAGGUGCGCCACUAUUACCACGCCACUAGUAACAAAUAGUAAUAGCGCACCAUUACUAUCACAGAUAGUAAUGGCGCACCUAUAGUGCGCCAUUACUAUGCCUAGAAGGUGCGCCAUUACUAUCUGACUUAGUAAUGGCGCACCACAUAGAAGUGCGUCAUUACUAACAAAAUUUUUUCAUAAAAAAAAUUUCUAAAUUUUUUUCAUAUAUUUUUUCCCUUUUUUUCUUAAUCUCAGGUCAAUAUGCUUAAUCUCAAGUCAAAUCGCACUCCGUGGUCAAACUUGCCGGAAGGUCACCCAUCCUCACACUACUCCGGCCCGAGCACGCUUAACUUCGCAGUUCUAUCCAACCCCAGCACCAGCUUACUUAACAUGCACUUGUUGAUAUAUAUCUAUCAUAUCGAUCCUAUUAAACCUUGUUGAUGUCUAGAACUUUAUUCAUGUUCAUGAGUGUGAUGAAAUUUCAAACUUCCCGGUCCUAUUACGUAUCAUAUUUUGAAAAAAAAUUGAAACCAAUUUUUUUUCUGUUACUAGUGGCGCACCUAGCAAAUGGUGCGCCACUAGCAAGUUUGAUUUUUUUUCUUUUCCCCACUCUAGAUCUUAAAAGCCUCGUAUCUUUCAUUCUGUUAGGUUUUUCGGGAUUCUGAAAAUCUUGUAACUUUUUGAGUAGAUGCUUUUUCAUAUAUAAAACUUUUUAAUCCGAGUUCGUAUGUAAAAGUUAUGCCCAUUUUACUAAAUUCCAGAGAGAUUUUUUAAAUAAAGUCGAAAUUCAUAUUUGUAAAUUUUCCAACAACUAGACCACAUAUCACAUGGGAAAUUUAUUUCCUUUUUUUUUUGACAUUUCCAUCAUUUUCUUUUAUUUUUUCUAAAACUGAAACGGCGGUCCAGAGGGGUGGGGGUGCAAAGAAAGUAAGUAAUGACACACCUUCACAAAGUGCACCAUUAUUAUGUGUAUGACUUGGUCAAACCUUGGUCAAAGAUAGUAAUGGCACACUUUGUGUAGGUGCGUCAUUACUAAGUUUGACAUAGUAAUGGCGCACCUAUGCAAAGUGCGUCAUUACUAAGUUUGAUCAAGGUUUGACCCAGUCAUACACAUAGUAAUGAUGCACUUUGUACAGGUGCGCCAUUACUAUGUCAACUAGUAAUGACGCACUAUCCUCUAGUGCGCCACUGCUAACAAUUUUUUUAUUUUUUUCUUCAAAACUAGUACUAGCGCACCACACACCAGGUGCACCACUAGUAAUAUAUCAAUAAUGACGCACCUGUAUCUGGUGCGCCACUGCAUACAUGGUGCGCCAUUAAUGUCCAAAUUAGCUAUAGCCCUUUUCCUAAUAGUGAAGAUUUAAUGUUCUGAACAUUUUUUGAAAAGGAAUAUAUAUUAAAAUCCCAAACAUUUAAAAAAACGGAUUUGUGUGAUAUUAUGAGUUUUAUUGAAAAUUUUGGUUUUAUGAAUAAAGGGGAGAUAGAGAAAUAAACUUGAAAGGAAAAAAGAAAAAAGAAAAGGAAAGAAAAUAGAAACCAAUGGAGAAAGAAAAGUAGAAACAUAACAUAGAACAAAAAGAAAUGGUUCAACCAAGCUCGAGCGCCUUAUGCGAAUUUGUGACUAUUUUGGAAUGAGAACAAAUAUUUAUAUUAUAAACUUUUUCAAAAAAGAAUAUAUUUAAAGUUCUGAACAUUUUUUUAGAAAAUUGAUUCUUAUGAUAUUAUGAAUGUUUUGAAAAUUUUGAAUUUACAAAAAAAUGGGAGAAAAAUAAACUUGAAAGGAGAAAACACCAAAGAAAAAGUGAAAGAAAUGGAAAAAGAAAAAUAGAAACAUAUUUUAAAGUUCUGAGCAUUUAAAAAAGUCGAUUUUUUAUGAUAUUAUGUAGUUUUUUGACAAUUUUGAAUUUACGAAAAAAGGAGAAAAAGGUAAACUCGAAAGGGAAAAAGACCAAACAAAAGGAGAAAGAAACGGAAAAAGAAAAACAGAAACAUAACACAAAACAAAAAAAGAAUAUAUUUCAGCCCAGCUUGGGCGCCCAGUGCGAAUUUACGACUAUGUAACGCUAAUUGCGAUAAAUAGGGUUUUUCCACCUGCAUGUACACAAAAAUAACUGGGCUGGAUUUCGUGGGCCAAUACUGUGGGCGGCCCAUGUACGAGAUCUGGCGUUUUUCUUUUCUAAUAGACAAACGGACAAAAAAAUUGUACCACCUCGAAUAGAAAAAAAAUCUUUUCAUUGGUGAACGGAUGAAAAAAUCAGAGAAACACACCUUGCUUUAUUAGUAGGUAUAGAGGUAUAGAUAUAGAUAUAGAUAUAGAUAUAGAUAUAGAUAUAGAUAGUAUGGAUAGAAAAAUGAAAUUUUCCAUCCAUGCUAAUCAUAACAUAAAUUGUUUAAGAAUUCGUUGGUACACAUAAAAACAUCUAAUGUGAAUAAUCUAUGGUUCUUAUAGUAUUUGCUAGGAUAUCAUGUAUGUUAACGGAAAGUCAUGCAUGCAUGUGUCCAUUAUUGUGUAUAGAAACAAAGUAUUUAUAAUUCUACCAUUCUUUCGUGGCAAAAACAAGCAUGUAUUCCUUCUUUUAGGUUAACUAAGAAAGGCUACAAUAGAACACUCGACCUUUGUGCCUUUUAGAAACUUCUAGAUCACGAGUGCAUGAUGCACACAAUAACUUUUGCGUUUGUAACCAUGUUUUCUACCAACAUAAAAAAUAUACCCUUAUAUAACCUUCAUAAAGUAGCACAUUCUUAUUUCCACAUAUCUUCUAUAAAUUUGACGUGAUUUUCCAUCACACAGCGAUAUUUUUAUACUUUCGUCACAAAAUUGGACAUAAACAAUCAAUCACAAAAUAGUCAAAGAAAUGUAACUUCAUUGGAUCCAAUGUGCAUGUGUAAUAAUAAUAACCUAUAUCCAAAUGAUUGUUUGAUAUUUAUAAUUUGUCAAAAAUAUGUUAUAUCUGAUAUUACAAUUGCUAGCCCGUGCAGGUGCACGGAUUGACGACUAGUGAUAUGUAGAUAGAAUUAAUUAUGAUUACCAUUCAAUAAUUUUUCUUUAUGGAUAUCCAAAUUUAUGUUUAGAAUCAACAUUUCUACAUCAAUUUUUUCCGGGGAUUUUUUUUACUUAGUAAACAUAUGGAUAUUUAGAAAAAAUUUGUGCUAAUUGUGUGCUCUCCUUAGCCUAUGUUACAAUGCAUGGUUUUCUCGGUUAUUUUAGAAAAUGCAUGUAUUUCUCUAUUGCCAACUUCUCACAGAUGCAGUUAAGUUUCGUAAAAGUUUAGAAUGGCAGCCAACACGAAAAAGGAUAAAAGUAUCAUCAUUUGCACAUUUUUUCACCUUCUUCACUAUCUAUAUUUAUAAGGAUAUUCACUUUGCGAUUUAUGUUUUCCCAAUUUGCUACAAAAGCGCAGAACGAACAUUUUAGAAAAUAAAUGCAAAAUGUGUAAAAUAAAAUGUGUAGGUACAUAAUUAAAAAUCUUGGACGACGAUAACUGCCACACGUGUGGCAUCUAGGGGGUAUGUGCCGCACGCCCCGUGUGGCAUCGACACAGGCCCGCCCGCACGAGCACGUCCGCGCGCACCCCACCACAGCCCGCACGUUCGGUGUGUGGCGCAAUCGCCCGCACUAGCACGUCCGGGCGAGCGACCUCACGGCCCGCACGACCCGUCUCGGCCCUCGCCCCUCCCCGCCUGCGAGCCACACGCCCCGCGUGGCAGUAACCACGCGUCCCGCCGUGAUUGCCAUGGUCCGAACCCUCUUCCAUGUUCGUUUAACUGUAGUUGCCAUGUUGCUGAACUGCAGUUGCCAUGUCUGACAACUACAGUUGCCAUGGUUGCUCAACUGCAGUUGCCAUCUCAGGUCAAGUGUCGGAUGCCAUUUUUGGGCAACUGUAGUUGUUGCCAUGUAUGAUCUGGUCUACUAUAGAUGCCAUGAUUUGAAAACUUUAGGAUUUGCCGCCUACUAACACUAGACAGUUGCCAUGUAGCACUACAAAAACAUGGCAAAAAACAUGUUCGGGUAAAAGAGAGAGUUGCCAUCUGCUUACAAGCACACUAGGGCAGUUACCAUGUACCCUGCAAAAACACAUGGCAAUUGAUAGCUUUUGGUGUGUGGGAGAGGAGACGGGCAUGUGGGCGACGGUGGUAUCUUUAGGAGUUGCCACCUACUAACACUAGACAGUUGCCAUGUAGCGCUACAAAACAGACGUGUCAACAAUAACAUGUUCGGGGUAAAGAGAGUUGCCAUCUGCUUAUAAUCACAAAUAGGGCAGUUGCCACGUACUAGCACUGGACAGUUGCCAUUUAGCGCUACAAAAACAGACGUGGCAACAAUAACAUGUUCAGGGUAAAGAGAGUUGCCAUCUGCUUACAAUCACAAAUAGGGCAGUUGUCAUGUACCUUGCAGAAAACAUGGCAAAUGACAACUUGGUUUGGGAGAGUGGGAAAAAGGGCAGUCAUGGGAGAUGGGGAACAGAAGUCGUGCGCGGCGUGCGGGCGCGACAGCAGUUCCACCGCACGCCCCGACUCGCAACCGGUCUCGUCCGAGGGAGAAACAGCAUGCGGGCGAACUACCUACACACCACACACCGGGCUUGUCCUACGUGGCACACCAAAUCCAUCUUUUGGUGUCAGGAUUCGUGCAAAAAAUAACCAACGACAAUCCAGGCGUGUGGGCGAGUUGAAGACGUUCCACGCGUGUGGGCGUUAAUGUUUCCGAAAAUCUUAUAUCUCCGUCUCAAACAAAAAAAAGCCUCCUUCCAUAAGAAACAGCUCAUACGUGAAACUCUUCUCGCCUAUUAAAAAAAAGGAAAAGCAUCCCUCCCCCAAAAAAAGAGAAAACGUCUCCACUAGCUCCUGUACUUUUUUUAGGCAACCACGUCUCCUCUAUAUGGUCAGAUCUUUCAAGACUUCUUACUAAUCAGAACCACUACGUUGUAAAUUUAUAUCCAAUAAAGAAAACUUGCCGAAUCAUAGAUGGUCUCGUCCAAAAAAAAUGUCAUGUGAUACGUCCAACGUUGUCAAAAAAACAUUCUCCGUUCCUUAAAGAGAAAAGAUAGCGUCCUUAGAAAAGCACUACCAAUAAAAGGAAAAGAAAGACGGAAUCCAAUUGAUGACCGAUGAAACUCCAUAAAUAAAAUCUUCUGUCAAUCGAUUUUAAAAGAAGAAACAUCUGGCUCAGUUCCUCUACAUGGCCGCAUACUCCACUUCCUCUUCAAUCCUGCUCUCCUACAUGUGGCUGGUGGUGGCGAUUUCUCUAACCGAAGGAUAUACCCAACUCGCCAUCACCAUCAAGUGCGCUCUCCCACCAGCAGGGCCAACAACAAACUGCAAAGAAACCUGACGACAGGUGCUGCGAGGUAUGAUGCAAGAUCGACUGCGACCCCAAGCGGCAAUCGAUCUUCCUCAUUGUUAUUGUCACCGCGUCUCCUUCCAUCCACCCCGGGCAUCAAAGUUCACCCUAUUUUAUGAUAAUAAAAAAGUCCAACUACCAAGUACAACCUCUAAUAAGUUCUUCUUGGAUUCAUGCUCCGACAAGACUAUGAUCCAACUAUGAUAAUAAUGGAUUAAGGCACGGAUUGCUAACACUUAUCUGCAUAUAUAGUACGUAUGCAUGUCUUUAUUUUGGUCUUAGAAAAAAGAGAAAAUUAGCUAUUAAAGCAUCUUUAAAUACAUACAAAUUACCGAAGUAACAAGAAAAUAUGGAUGUACCAUGCGCCACGAAGAUCUAAUAGACACACGAUUAUCUAUGUGGUAUAGGUAUGUAUACAGUAUGGAUAGAAAAUAUAAAAAAAUGACAUCCGUAUUAAAAAUAUAAGAAAUUCUUUAAGAAUUUGUUUGUUGAGACUAGAACUUAAAACCGGAAUAAUCUAUGGUGCUUAUAGUAAUGAGAAUAUACUACAAACUUUUGUUUGCCAUCACACAAUGACAAUAUUAAUAAGGUUGUCACACAAUUGGAGGCAAACAAUCAAAUAACAAAAUAGUCCGAAGCAAUGUAACACUGUUGAACCUUAUGUCUAACAAAGAUAAACAUGCAUGUGUGACAACAAUAACCCAUAUCAACAUAUUAUUAUUGUCUGACAUUUCUAAUUUGUAACAACUUUGUUGUAUGCAAUAUUAAAAGUGCUAGCCCGUGCAUGUGCACGGGUUGAUGACUAGUAUAGUAUAACUCUGAGACAUGCCUAUAUAACCUCUUAUUUGCAUACGUUCUUUUAAAACAUAGCAUAGACAAACCACAUUACAUUAUAAUAAUGAAUUUGUUUUUUCUCGGUGACAGGGUAACUGUUAUUUCUAUGUCGACCAGUUGUAGCUUGAAAGAAAGUGUUAUAAAACAAUUAUGUUACUCCCUCCUCCAUAAUCUAGUGCGUAUAGAUUUUUUCUAAAAGUCAAACUUUCCAAACUUUGACCAAGUUUAUUGCAAAAACAAAUUAUAUCUACAAUAGCAAAUAUAUUUAACAUGAAACUACAUCUUAUGGUGAAUCUAAUGAUACACAUUUGUCAUUCUAGAUGUAAAUGUCUUUCUUCACAAAUUUGGUCAAACUUUGUGAGGUUUGACUUUUCAAAUAAAUUAUAUUCACUAUACUACGGAACGGGGGUAGUAUAUUUUAGGUAUAGAAGUUUUCAACACACAUUUUCACAAAUUCUAAGAUUAAAAUUGCAUAUUAUUUGUUAAAAAAUUAACUAUCUAAUUCUCGUUCAACAAAGAAUCAAUAGUCUAGGAAAAUGCGAGCACCAUUGUCAAGUCUAGGACAUGAAGCCUGAAGGGCUGCGGAUACCAUUGUCCUCCUUACCAUUCAACCAGAGGUUGGUUCACGUUGGCUCUCACAUGUUGACGGUCGUGUGCAUCGGUAUGAAGUUUUAUUUCGGACAAAUUUCCUAUGACAGGCCGGCUACUAGAAUUAUCGUUACCCUAGAAAAUGUUGCCAUGGUUCAAAUAAAUCAAAUUCAAAUAAUCCAAAUUUCAAGUAAGAUAUAGAUGAUAUUAUUGACACAAAGAUGGUCAUGGCCUCUUGGCUACACAUGAUUGUUUGCUAGAGAGGGUCGAGGAAUUGAAUUCCGUUUUCCCACCAAUUUUUUUGCGAUGUUACUUUGGCUGCCCAUCGGAUCUUCGCGCUUGAAAAGACUGCAUCCAUAGAGGUAAUGGGAGAGAUAAAUAACUUCAAAACAUCAGAAGAACACAAUGACAACAACAGAAUUUCAGGAGCCAUUUUAAAGAUAUGUUCCACAGGGAGGGACCGAUGGCAUCAUUUUUAGCCUUUGAAGCAAAAAAGACGGAUGACCCCAAACAAGUCUCCAAUUAUCCUAGAAAAAUAAAGAAUUUAUUCAAAACCAUGCAUAUUAAUAUAUCAACAGACAAAAUCAGAGUAAAAUCAAUGCCAUGAUAACUUUAUUAUUAUUAAGAGUACAAUUAAUUUCACAUCAACAUAUUUUCUUAGAAAAAAACAAACAUUAUAUAGUCGAGAAACAUCACAUCUGGUGCUACCAAGGCAGUGUUCAAUUUAACCAGCAUGCCCAGUUCACUGUUUCCAUUGACCAGAGCCCCCACUCCACGCAUAUCGACAAGCUCGGAGUCGCACUCAUCGACAUAAUCAUAUGCCAUAUCCACACAACUGGCGAGCUCAUUGGACCGUAGCCCGUCCUCGUCGCCUUGGUAAUCCUUGAUCAUGGGAUCACAUAUGUUGAGGACGCUCAACACAGAGUCAUAUAAUCCACCUCACACAAACUAAGGUCAACUCCACCGUGUGACUUCAAAUGGACGUCCGUUUUACCCGGAUUCUGUCCGUUUGGAUAGGGCAAUGGGGUCGCGUCCGGGCGGGAUGCGCUGGCCGUUCGCCCAACACGCGGACGCAUCCCGGCCGCAUCUUGUCCGCAUAGAUUUUUCUUUGUAAGCCCUUAACUUUUUUUCAUCAUUCAUUUUUGAUACAUGGAAUACAUCACCAAAUUUUGAAUAGAAAAAUAAGACCAAAAAAAUAAGAACCACAAAAAUACAUUUUAGAAGAUAUUUAACUUCCAUAACUGCUCCUGUAAGUUGGAUUAGUGCCUUCUCGAUGCAUUCAUUGUUUAUCUGCAGAGGAGGCUCGAUCUUGCGUGCUUCUUUCUUCUUCGAGUCUAAAGAAGUAGAGGUUGCUUUCUCGCAUCUAGUCUCAUGUCUAGCCUCUAAUCUAGCAACAAGUGCACUAGUCUCAUCUCUAGCCUCUAUGCUAGCUAAAAGUGCACGAACAUCUAAUAAAUUGCGCUCUAACAAUAUAUCGAUGUACUCUUCUUCCCAAUACCAAAACUUGCAUCCAUGCUACACAAUAAAAUUUUAAGUUAGCACGCAACUAGUCAAAUCUAAGAGCACAACCGAACCUAAAAAGAGCACAUACCCCAUCAUUUAAGCAUUUGAUGAACACCCAUCCUGAAUGUUCCGGCGUUGUAGACAUGCGGCCAACGACCUUCUUUGGGCGGUGGUCGCACUUAAUUAGUGGCAACGGUGCACCGACGAGCUUUUUGGCUAGCACCGAGCCCGGCCGAGCGUCAUAAGUGUAUCUGACGGCAGACCACCAACGGUGUAGAUCCGAGUGGCUAGAGGAGGAGCCACUGCCUGCAUGCGGCCUUGCGGCCCUGCCAGGGCCUUCCGGCCCAGUGCCCAGCCAGUCCAUGGCGCGGCGCGGCCUCCCACAGCCGGGCGAGCUCGAGGCUGACCGGAUCUGCCCCAAAUCCGGCCGGCGGGUGCGCAAAUCAGGUGGCCGUGAUUGGGUAGCUCGGGGGCGCCGAGGGGAAGGGGUUGGGCGAGCGCGCGUCCAAGCUGCACAGCUACAAUGGCAGCGGCGGCGGCGAGGGGAAGAGUGGGGAAAAGUGGAGAAGAGUGGAGGGGGUGCGGCUGGAGGAAGGGAGGGGGGCAGAUAGAAAAAGGUGUCCUUGUGCCAUCAACGGGCGGGCCAGGGAAGGACACGCGCAGACGCCCCGCCCGUCCGCGUGCUGUCCCUUUCACCCCAAAAGCGGCGCAAAUAUGGGCCGGGGAUGGGUCGAAAGCGGACAGAAAACGGAUAAAAAUUUUGCGUCCGCGGUUGGGCCGUCUGGUUCGUCCGUUUUAUCUCAAACGGACGCAUGCGGACAGGAGGGGGGCGCGUGGUGGAGUUAGCAUAAGGACACGCAUUGGCACCGUGCCUUCUUGCUUCAUGUGUUUGUUGUCUUCGCACAGGAGCUCUAGCACAGACGUUCUUAGGGUCAACCUCUGUCAACACAUGGGGUGGCCUGUUCGGCACGCCUGUGUAAAAAAUCAUGACACAGGCAUGAGGUAAUAGUUAGGGGUCUACUCCCUAAUAGUAUAUAGGACAAAGAUCAAUGGAACGCUCAUUGUUGUGGGCAGCGAGUUGCCAGAAACAUUUCUUCCUGCUCUGCUCUGCUCGCUCCUCCUCCAGGCGACAGACUCCUCUUCCCGGGAACGCACCCACAGUCGCCGGUGAAAGAUCCGAUAACAAGCGUGACAUCAUAUUCCACCAUGGCGUGGGUGCCGAGCAUAGUGCCCAUCGCAAGGCUAGCCUUCACCGCGCUCGUCGGCGUCGCCAACGCCGUGCUCAAUGCCAGCAUGAUGGCUGCCGCGUUUCACAUUCACCGUGCUGCCUUCCAGGUGUUUGAUUAAAUGAGCGAACCAAAUAUAUGUUAUAGGGAAUUAAAUUAUAGUUGUUCUUCUUUUUUAGCCCUAACAGUAGAACAAUCGUUAUACAAUAUUUUCAUUAAUAAAGAAAAGUUACAAAAUACAAAUAUUAACAAUGUAUAGACCUCUCAGCCUAUCCCUGUUCUAGGAAUUGGAAGUCAUGCCAUUAUAAAACCAAGUCAGACCAUUGUUUUAUCUUGCUUGCCUUUUCUUCUUUUGCCCGGAGUUGAACAGCCCAUAGUCCUUCCUCCAAAUAAAAUUUCCAUGUAUCUGUACUAGAAGGUGCUGAUUUGAAGAUGUUAUCAUUUCUCACUGACCAGAUGCUCCAACAACUCAUAAUGAUGAUGUCAAGUGCAAAGUCUUUAGGUAACUGAUUGGCAAUGAGAAGGAAUUCAUCAAAAGUAGAGAUGCCUCUGGUUCUUCCUAGUGCUAUAAUAUCCCAACAUGAGAGUGCAAAUGGGCAAUUCCAGAACAAAUGGAUCAAAGUUUCAUCCACAGCAUCACACUACUAAGGAAAACUUUAUACACAGAGAUAUAGAAGUAGCGCUGGACAAAAUGAAGCGCUACUGCUACUUAGUAGUAGCGCGUUGCGGUAAAAGGCGCUACUGCUAUCCUUUUAGCAGUAGCGCGUGUUAGCAAAACGCGUUGCUGCUAAGUUUGAACUGGGCGCACAUGGCUGGCCCCACUUAGCAGCAGUGCGUUAUGCAUACCUAGUGCUACUGCUAUGCUCCAUACUAGUAGUGUUUUUCAUGAACCCGCGCUACUACUAACCCUACCUUAUCGUUCCCGCGUGGCCGACCCUCUCCCUCUCCCUCUCAGUCACUCUCCCCAGCACCCCCCCCUCAUUGUCCGCCACCGCCGCCGUUCCCCAGCCACCGUCGUCGCCGCCGGCACGGACGCUCCUACUCCUCCAAUGAGGUAGCCCCUCCAUCCCUCCUCCUCCCUCCUCCCAUCCCUCCUCCUCCCUCCGCGCCCUCCUCCCUCCGCGCCCUCCUCCCUCCUCCUNNNNNNNNNNNNNNNNNNNNNNNNNNNNNNNNNNNNNNNNNNNNNNNNNNNNNNNNNNNNNNNNNNNNNNNNNNNNNNNNNNNNNNNNNNNNNNNNNNNNNNNNNNNNNNNNNNNNNNNNNNNNNNNNNNNNNNNNNNNNNNNNNNNNNNNNNNNNNNNNNNNNNNNNNNNNNNNNNNNNNNNNNNNNNNNNNNNNNNNNNNNNNNNNNNNNNNNNNNNNNNNNNNNNNNNNNNNNNNNNNNNNNNNNNNNNNNNNNNNNNNNNNNNNNNNNNNNNNNNNNNNNNNNNNNNNNNNNNNNNNNNNNNNNNNNNNNNNNNNNNNNNNNNNNNNNNNNNNNNNNNNNNNNNNNNNNNNNNNNNNNNNNNNNNNNNNNNNNNNNNNNNNNNNNNNNNNNNNNNNNNNNNNNNNNNNNNNNNNNNNNNNNNNNNNNNNNNNNNNNNNNNNNNNNNNNNNNNNNNNNNNNNNNNNNUCUGAUCCCACCGCCCUCCUCCUCCUCCUCCCUCCUCCCUCCUCUCUCCUCCCUCCUCCCUCCAUCUAUUUUUUUUUCUGUUUUUUACUGUAGUUUUUUUUACUAUUGUAUGUAUAGAUAUAUUGAUACAUGUUUUAGAUAACCUUGCAUUAAUAUGUCUAACUUCCAUUUCUGUUCUCUUCUCUCGUUCUACAGAUUUCAUAUUUGUAUUCAUUUUAAGAAUUCUUCAAGAUGCACAUAAUUUAGUCUCUGGUUACAAUCUAAAUGUAAGAAAGCACAUGAUCUGUAGAAGGUGCAACCAAUGUGUUAUCCAUGUGAUAAAAUUAAACUCAACAUGCUAGAUCAAAUAUCCAAGUCAACUAGAAAAGAGAUUUCCUUACAACUAUUGUCAAGCCGCAUUUUCAAAUCACAGACAGUUUUAAGCAAUGAAUGAUCUAAAAAAAUCAUCCUACCUGCCACCGUUUUUCUCUUUGGAUGUCCACAUAUUGUUUUUUUUUCAUGGUGAGCGUUUGUGCCAAUAGAUAAACUAACGAGUUUUUCAUCUUGUGGUCGAAUCAAAGAUAUUCGAUUCUGUGUUUUUCAUGAUCUUGCUUGUACGUACGACCAUGAAACUACUAUUGUUAUCAUGUAUGAAUACUUGCAAAAGGGUGCUUCAGCGCCAGCACCGACCAUGGAUGGACAUGAGUAUGCAUGGAUGCGUGCAUGUAACGACCUGUUGGCUCCUGCAGGUCAAAGUACAUGGUUCUCUUAGGUCUUUGCACCAUCAAGGCCUUGAACAGUUCCUUGAUGAGUGUCAAGGUGAGACUUCAUGUCUCUAUGGUGAACAGACAAACUUCAGCGGAUAUGUUGCUGUCAUGGCACGGCAAAGAACAGAACAAUAGAUGGACUCUUGCCACUAGUAGUAUUGAUCCACGCUUGACACAUGACUACUCAUGGAGAAGACCCAUUCCUUUAUAACAUUUCCCUUUUAUUCAGUCUGUUUUGGUGAAUCAGCUGUCAGAAGAACUUCUUCUUCUUGUUCUUCUAUUAAAAAUAGGUUUUUAACCCAAAUUAAAGUUAGAUUUCACAAGGAGUGAACCAGUGGCAUUGUUGUAUCCCCUUGAAGCAGAGAAGACAAGUGAGCGACAAUCAUAUUUCCAAUUAUCCAGCUGGUCUUUUACAAGUACUAGAAGAACGCCCGUGUGUUGCAAAGGGGUCACAUUACCUUUAAGAGUUCAAUAUUAAUAUUCUCAUACAUAUCAAGUGACAUUGGCGACUUUUUUUACCAUCAAAUCCUCACACACACACACUCUCUCCCUCCCUCUUCCUCACUCUCUCCCCCCCCCCCUCUCCCUCUAUCUCUCUCUAACNNNNNNNNNNNNNNNNNNNNNNNNNNNNNNNNNNNNNNNNNNNNNNNNNNNNNNNNNNNNNNNNNNNNNNNNNNNNNNNNNNNNNNNNNNNNNNNNNNNNNNNNNNNNNNNNNNNNNNNNNNNNNNNNNNNNNNNNNNNNNNNNNNNNNNNNNNNNNNNNNNNNNNNNNNNNNNNCACAUACACACACACAUAUUCAUCUUAUUGGGUACGGGACCAUAAUCCAUCUAUUUCACACACACACACACACGAUAGUGCAUAACUAUAUGGAUGUGUAUUAUAUUUGCCAUCACAACUGAGGGAAUUAAUUUCAUGUAAAUCGACCAGCCACAGCUCCAAGAAUACGCGGAGGAGGUGGCCCGGGUCGGCAUCGGCGGAUGUCCGGCACGGGCCACGGGCCCGCUUCCAUGCGCGUCUGUGCGCCGGCCACCCACGCCGGGUCCUUCAAGUGCCGCUUCCACCGCACCAAUUCCUAGGGCCACGGCCACGACCACGGACAGGGAAGCCGCCCUUCUUUGCCCCCUUCACCGGCCGCGGCGAACGCGGUGCCGCGGCAUCCGACCUCGCCGUCCUCGUCCUCCGGCACCGCCGCGAUCCAGUGACGCAGCCCAAUCAUCGGCCUCGAGAAUCAAGAACGCUCGACAACGCAGAGGGAAGGGAAGAUCAUUACAUGUCAUAAGAAAGGGAGUUUAUUUACUGCUCCCUCGAUGUAUUGUUUCCUUUGUUUGGAGAUUGAUUACCAUCCGUGAGUUAAGGUAAGGUUAAUGUGAUUGAGCGAUUUUUCUGAAAAUCAAAUAUUUGUUUUCUAAUUAAUGUGAUUGAGUGAUUUAAGGUAAGGUUAAUUAAUUUAGAUUUGAUCUUUAGAGAUUGUUCGUGAUUGAUUCUACAUUACUAAAUAACUUGCGUCAGUAUGGAAAGUUCUGAUCUGUUUAGAUUUCUUUCGUUGUGUGAGAGGGUGACGCGAAAAUAAACCGAUGAAGUGGGGGGGGACGAAAAAAAAUCUAUGAAAAAAAUCAGCGAAGGUGGGAGGAGGUACCAAAAAAACCAUGAAAGGUGGGACGAAAAAAACCUGAAAGCGAGACUACCAACUGCUCCAUUAGGAGUAGAGAUCCCUUCUUGAAUACUCGGUUCAAUAAAUAAGUUAUUCACACUUCACAGCCAUCCAUGUGCAUAUAUAGUAAGUUAAUAACACAAAACCCGAGUAAAUUUAUGCCACAAAAAGGUUCAGUAUUAUUAUUUCAAAUAACUGAUGCAACAACAAAUAAUAUUAAUCGCGGACAUCAUAUGAUAUUAGCAAGGCGUUGUUGAGGAUGAGAAGCAUGUACAACUCCUCGUUUUCUUUGAUGAGCACCUCCGCACCAGGCAUAUCUGGAAGCUCUAACCAACACACGACGAUAGGGUUGUAAUUCAUAUCCACAAAGUCGGGCAGAUGCAAGAACUGCUGCCCACUCUUGUCACCUUGGUAGUCCUUGAUCAGGCCGUGGCACACGUUGAGGCGUCUCACCACAUCUUCAUACUCCACCUCACAAUAACUGAGAACGUGCAUUGCCACUGUUCCCUUCUUGGCAUCUUGAAGCUUUUGCUUGACCUUACCACUAGCGGCAGUGAUACAGCUCUUAAAGAUGUCGACAGUGACGAGCACUAAGUCACGGAGGUCCUUAGCCUCGGCACUUCAAUUGUCCGACUGAAGGGUGGACAAACAGAAUUCUUGCGUGACAGAUUCGUUGUAGGGGUUGUUGAUCAAGGCCUUCUUGCAUGCUUCCACCAUGAGCUUGGUCGC
Molecule: long non-coding RNA, 71014 nt
Filed under: Triticum aestivum (bread wheat)
Lineage: Eukaryota; Viridiplantae; Streptophyta; Magnoliopsida; Poales; Poaceae
Description: long non-coding RNA (TAES_LNC013945)
Rfam family: skipping-rope RNA (bases 26756-26847)
Source: RNAcentral